Molecule: long non-coding RNA, 70953 nt
Filed under: Sorghum bicolor (sorghum)
Lineage: Eukaryota; Viridiplantae; Streptophyta; Magnoliopsida; Poales; Poaceae
Description: long non-coding RNA (SBIC_LNC006109)
Source: RNAcentral
AUAUAGUUAUAUAUAGGCCUGACUAUAUAUAUGUGUGUAAACAGCUUUCACUAGAUACUCAUGGUCAUUGAAAUUCCCAAGAACCGGUUGAUAAUCUUUGACUCAAUGAGAAAACCACAAGAAAAUUAUCAACAAAUGGCAAACAUUAUUCAAAGGUACGUAAUGUCGAUCUCAGCUAGAAGAAUAUCAUAUAAUAUGACUUUGUAAUUAUUAGUUCACGAUCCACAAUGGCUGUGUGUAGGGUUUGGGAAAGAUUCAUUGACCGUGAACAUCUCAGUGGAUGUAAAUAAAGCGCCGCUUAACAUAAUACAUCCACAAGUAAGUUCUACUAACUAGCAAACUUUCGCUAACUUUUAGCCUUCUUAUUGUCGUGGUCGUGAAUAUUAUAUAUAUAUAUAUAUAUAUAUAUAUAUAUAUAUAUAUCGUACAGUGGUGUUUAAGACAAGAAGGGGGGAACAAUCUAUGUGCAUAUUACGUGUGCAAAUUCAUGAUGGCACAAGUCAAUGAAACACCCACAGAGACGCUCAGAGUACGUUACAUGUCUCUUUUCAUUAUCUCCUGAAUUAUAUUGAAUAACUUACAUAACUAAUACCUUUUUUAUUUAUUUCAAAUUAAAGACGGAAUGGUUGAGGGAAAAGGUCCUACAAAAAGACCGAAUCAAAGCUAUCCAAGAGAUGAUAGCAGGAUUUCUCCGCGAGCAAGUGAUCAAUCCAAACGGCGAGUUUCACUUCAACGGCAACGAAACUCUUAUUCCAAACAACGAUGAUCAUUUGUAUCGUUUGUAGACAUUGGGAGAAAAAACUCUAUGUAUAUAUGUGUUACGAAUUUUGUACAUAUAAAACUAUAUAUAUAAAAAGCUUUUUACAUAUCUAUUUAAUUUUUGAUGUGGCCUAUUCAUUUUAUUAUAGGCAAAGCUUAAUUAUUAAGCUAAGCCUAUAAUUUUCAUUUAUAUAUGCUUAAUAUGCGUGUAAUAUAAAUAUAUUAUUGUAUCAGCAAAAACAUGUAUUGAAAAACCUAUUAUUAUAUAUUAUAUAUAAACAAUAAACAGAACCGAAGAAGUGAAAUAAAAAAAAACCCCCAACCGGUGUUAAAGGGUCCUGCAACGUGGCAGCCCUGGCAGGAUCCUUUAACACCGGUUGGUAUUACCAACCGGUGUUAAAGGAGAGGGCUUUAGCCCCGGUUCCCCGAACCGGGACUAAAGGGAGGGCCUUUAGUCCCGAAAGGGCAGCACCGGCUCGGGAACCGGAGCAACAGACCCUUCCCGACCGGUGCUAAUGCCGUAACGUCCUGCAGUGUACCAAGCCGAUCAGCCCAAACAGCCACACAUGCCACAGCUAGUUUUUUUUUGGACCAGGGGGUGCUCCCAUCCUCAUAGGUGCAGUGCAUCCAUUGUCUCUCUCCUGUAGCAUAUGUAUAUCCAUCGUCAUCCGACGGUUUUAGGACGCAAGUACAUGCCUAUAGAAGCAGAUUUAGGCUCCCAUAGAAUUUUUUUCCUGGUUCUAUAAAUAUAAUGUGUGAAAUUUUUGUAUGAUUACUAUGAAAUUCUUGUAUUCCAAUUGGGUCCAUAACUUUUCUGCGUCCUACAUAGUUGCUCGUAGAAAUCAGUCGAUGAAACCAUGCAAACUGAAAAAUUAUUGCCAAAGAAAGCACACACAGCAGCAGAAGACAUUUAAUUGCUUAACUAUAACUGAUACUUUUCAUUAGCUUUAAUCCAACCGCCUGGCAAUCCAUGAUUACAUGAAGACACAAGCCUUCCCAUUGCCAUGUCUGUUUCCGUUUUCAUUUCUUGCAAAGAUAAAAACAGAAGAAGAGCAAACAAAGAUGGGAAAUAAGGAUAACUGAUGACGAGAAACUAGAUGGAUAGUAAGAGCAACUCCAAUAGUUUGCUAAAACUCACUUGGCAAAUCUAUAGUUUUGCCAAGUCUCGAAACCAAAUGCCAAGUGAAAAAAGAAACCUUCUCCAACAAUUUGUUAUUUGGACUUGGCAAAAGAACUUGACAUUGUAGGAUUUUUGCCAAAAUCAUAAAAUUGAGCCUCCAACAAGUUGGCAAAACUAGUUGGCAAAUUGGGAUACACAUAAUGCAAGUGAUGGAGGACUUGGCAUAUUUGCCAAGUGAAGGGGAAAUUUUGUCAAUCUCACAUAAUUGCCAGGUAGGUUUGCCAACUUGUUGGAGGCUGUUUUUUUUGUGGUUUUGGCAAAAAUCCUAGAAUGCCAAGUACUUUUAGCAAACUGUCGGUAUUAGUAAUAAUUAAGAUAGGCUAAAGUUACGAUGAGAUACUAAGAUAGAUAGUAAUAAGAUAGAUAAUAAGAUAGGCUAAAGUUAAACACCAACACCCAACAGUCUUUGGUGAAGUUAAAUUAUGACCACGCCGAGUGCCUGAUGAGUCCCUACCCUACUAUAUAUAAAGAUAGCUUCAUUCCCAAUCAGCUCAUGCGCGCAUCGUCUUGUUGCAGCAGCGGCUCGAUCAAUCGGUGAGCUCAAGCGCGGUCCUUGCGCGUCGCCGCGUUCCCCAGGGUGAGCUCCAGGCCAUCCUCCUCGUCGGCGUUCUUCUCGGUCAUCACGUCCUCCUCCCUCGCGCCCGCCUGCUCCCCGCCGCUCCUGCGGAACGAGAACCCGAGCGGGGACAGCAGCGCGCCACCGCGGCCCGACAUCAGCGCGCCACCGCGGCCCGACAUCAGCGCGCCACCGCGGCCACGGAUCGCGGCCGACGCCCCACUUCUGCUGCGUCCCGGCAGCGGCGGGAGCAUCCAGGGCUUCCAGCCAGAACCAGAUGCAGAGCUCCCGGCACCGAGCGACGACGCGCCGGACGCCACGAAGCUGCUGCUGUACGCCGCUGCCUGUUUGUUGGCCGCGGCGUUGGAUAUUUGGAACCCCGCCAGCAGGCUCACCGGGUCGGGGCCGGGGGUCCGGCCAUUGACGGUGCUCAUUAGCGGCGGGGUGGAGGUCUGGAAGGAGAAGCGGCUGGCGCCAGCACCCGUGGCCCACGGAGGCGGCGGCAGCACGUUGGAGUUGGAGGCCGAGGCCCUCGCCGAGCUUGGCGGCGGGGAGGAGUAGCGCGACAUCUUGCGGAGGCGCAGCGGGGACGAGGGCGCGGAGCCGUCCUGCGGCGUCGCCGGCGCCUUGGAGUUGGAGGAGCUCGCGAAGAAAUUUGGGUACGAGUUGUCGCUGAGCUGCUUGGACUGGUUCUUGAGCCACGCCGGAAUUGGGUCGGACGACCCGCCGCUGCCACCGCCGCCGAGCAUGAUGCCGGAGGGUGACGACGCCCGGGUCAGGCUGUAGGAAGCUCCGCCUGGGUUCUUCACCGGAGCCGGAGCAGACCCGCCGAUGUCGGCCAUGUGCUGAUCACCUGCCCGAUCAGGCUUGGGUCCCUGAAUAAAUAAACACAAAACGAAAGCCGAUCGAAAGAUAUCAUAUCAGUGAACAUAUGAUAGACAUGCAUUCAUGCACGCGAAAAAUGUGCAAUCGCAAGGCAUUGUAAAAGCAAACGACAACACGGGUUUUCUGUCCCUGAACACACAUCCGUUAUUCCGUUUACAGUCGACAUUACGUACGACUAACGACUGAACGAAGCAGCAGCAUCAGAACACGCAUGGAGAGUAAAACACAGAUCAAGAACAAGGACGACAACACAAUCUGCAGGCAUGGUGCUGUAAGUCUGUAACGUGACAUGCAUGGUAGCACAGCUACCUUUCGUCAGAGCCGUGGCUGCACUGCAGUGGAUAGCUGCUCAUCCAAUCUUGUUGGAAAGGCAGGCUAGGCAAUGGAACAGCAGUCGAUAUAGCUAGACGACAACUUGACAAGCAACUGUACGGGAUCGAAAAUAAUGAAACAAAUUUUGGAGUUUUGCUACAAAAGUACAAACAAAAGCGGAAAAGAGAACUGUCGACGAUACUACACUACACACGCAGCGCAGCUCGAUUGGCAAAGCGAAGCGAAGCAGGACGACGACAAGAACAAUAUUGGGAAAAAAGACGGCGGCGCGCGGCGACGACCACGGAACACACACAGCUAGCGCGCGAGAAAACGCAUGGGUACCUUGCGGUAGGUGGUGCCGUCGGCCUCGACGGUCCAGCCGGCCUCCUCGCAGAGCGCCAUGAGCACGUUGUUGUUGUCGCAGUGCCUGGGGAGGGCGUAGUUGCCGUACAGGCGCAGCCCGGCGAAGAUCCUCCGCGCGAUCACCCGGCGACAGCGCUCCCGCUGCCGGUUGUUCUCCCGCUCACGCCACGACGGAGCCCGCACCGCCGCCGCCUGCUUCCCGUCCCCGUCCCCGUCCCCUGCGGCCCUAGCCCAUGCCUCAUCACCCCCACUACUCCCUCCGGCCGCUCCUACUCCUCCUCCCUUCAUCCCCAUGCCUCUCCACCCAGAGCUCAGCUCGCUCGCUCGCUUGCUAGUGAUGACGAAUUGAAUCUGCUGUGUUGCUGGCCGUGGACUGUGGUGGUGGUGGUGGUGAUGCAUUGGCGGCCGGCGGGCCGGGGCACCUUUAUAUAGGCCGCCACUGGUAACUGGCAGGACAGCGAUUUUACCAUUAUGCCCAUGAGACAACUGGACAUGAUGGCCAAGGAGCAGGAGGGACACCUUUGGGAAUUGCAUAAGGUGCCUAUUGCAGCAGUGGCAAUUUUUAGCGGUGGUGUAUUUGCCUUAAUGACAUGCCAAGAAUGGAUGACAAGGAGUGAUCAUGUUAGAGUAAACAUAGAUGAUUGCUAGUUUUAGGAGAGCUGUAUUCAUUAUGGUAUAUAAACUAUAUGGGGCUGGCCGGUGGUGCCCUGUGAAGGUUAAAACAUAGAUGGUUGCUCAUCCAGGUCCGGACCUGCUUAUCGUCAUCGAGCGGCUGCUGAUGCACUAGCACCACGUCUGUCUUUCCCACUGGGUUGUGCCUGUUGGGUUUAGUCCUUGCCACGGUUGUGCAACCAUCGAGUAUGGCCUUGUUUAGUUCAUGAAUGAAAAAAUUUCGCGAUACUGUAGCACUUUUGUUUGUUUGUGGUAAUUAUUGUGCAACCAUAGACUAACUAGGCUCAAAAGAUUCGUCUCGUCAAUUUCGACCAAACUGUGCAAUUAGUUUUUAUUUUCAUCUACAUUUAAUACUCCAUACAUACGUCUAAAGACUUGAUGUGACGGAGAAUCUUGAAAAAUUUUAGGAUUUUGGGUGGAAGACACGUGCGGCCAGCGGUCGCACAACCGUGAAGUAACUCCAAAUACGUGCGAGUUUACUUAACUCUAGAUACAUGCAGAUUUGGUUCACUAAAAAGUCAUUAUAUUUUACGUGCAUGUUUGGAUGGUUUUCCGAGGCAAUAGCAACGCACUCCUUGACAAAAUGACGGCAGUAACGGAGACUAGAGGGGCAAAAGUGUCACCACUUCUACUUCGAUGUGGAGUUACCGAAAAUAAUUGUUUCUUUUUAGUAUUCAACGAAGAUCUAUGUUACUAUGCAUGGUUAUAUGUAUUACAAAACAUGCACAAGCACGGCAGUUUCAUAUACAUUCAUGCGACAGAGAAUCAUAACGACACGUGUGUAUGCACGUGCAUAUUAUAAUGCAAAAAGAUUGUUUCUAGAAUCAAAUGAUGUCAACCAUUUUUCGACAAAAAUUAGAUGGAUUACAACAUAUCCUCCUUGACUAUAGUUAUUUUUGUAGUUGUAGUGAAUGAUCCUCGAUCAUCAUAGAAAGUUAAUGAACAUUUACUUAACCAUUAAGCUAGCUACCAUCAUAUACAUCCUCAACAAUGAGCAACAACCAUCUAUGUCAGAUCAAACAUUUUACAAAACAAGUCAAUUAUUACCAUUUCUCCAACUCGAUGCAUUGAAAUAGCAUUGUACAUUAACUUGAUAGUUUUGCCGGCAUAGCUUGAUAGUUUUGGAAACAUCAUAGUUCUCAUUGAUAGGGUCGCUAUAGCUGUACCAAUAUUAUUGUGAUACAUCAUGUAACAAAUUUUAACACGAUGGUGGAGUAACCUUGUGUUUGUGCAUGAUUAUACAACUACAUCCAUAUAUGUGGAAUUACAACAACAUCCCUUGUGAGAUGAACAUUUAUACAACCAUGGAUCGAUCUUUGCCAAAUAAGAUGUGUAGGCACAUGCAUGAUUGUUAGGAAAAGAUAGUUUCCUCGAAUAGAUGUUGAUGUACACCAUUGUUUGCUUUUUGCUUUCCUUGUUACAUAAAAUCUCUAAAGGUUUACAACACAAGCUCCUUGAUGAUAGAUGUUGGUUAUAGUUGUAAGGGAAUGAUCUUUAGGAUCAAAAACUAAAUGAACAUUUCCGCAACCAUGAGUCUACCAUCACAAAUGCACAACAAUGAACUACUACAAGAAUCUAUGCCAUCUCAAGGACAUUUUACAGAACAGUUGGUUGAUAACCUUUGUGCAAAUUGGAAAGUUGACAAACCAUUGUUUCAGAAUCCAAAAUAAGUUAUUGCUAGCAUGGCUUAAAAAUCAUAGAUACAUUAUAUAAUUCUUGUUUACUAACAACAGAUGUAACAAUUUUUUUCUAGGAGUGAGCAAGUGCAUUCUAGAACCAAACACCACGCCUAGAUGAAGUAUGAAAAUGAAAGCCAAAAUUAUUUUUUUUAAACAAGCACCAUAACUUCAAAUUUCAUAGUUGUAUCAAUCGUUUUGAACUUUUGACUGUUACAUCAAUCCUUUGAACCCAAACAAUUUGGUUUAUAGGAUAUUGGGUUGUGCAAAGAACGAAACCAUGAUAGAUGCGCGCGUCCAAUUGGUUAGGUUUGAGCUGUCAAUUACCCUUGGUUUAAGUCAAACUAAAUCGUUUCCUUUUCUUCUAGUGCAAGUCAGCAAGUGGUUGAUCAUCACUCCACCUGGUUCCAUUGAAGUCACACGCCAAUUGUUUUUUGACCGAAAACUCACCCUAGUUGUUUUAGGACACUUUUAUUUGCUUCCUCUAAUUUACUAGAGUAAAAUUAGUAGCAUUUAGUGUACUGCCAAAACAUUUCUGUUUGCUUAAUCACUGUUACCUCUACCUCUACCUUAGUGCAUUGUUUGGCAUUCUUCUCAUUCAAAGUACAGUAUAAUUAAUAGGCUUUGCUUAACCAGGGUGGUUCUAUUUGAGAAUAGUGAUGCUGCUGCACAAUUUAAUAUGGAUUUAUUGAAAAAAAUAAUAAUAUAAACAACAAAUAUAUACAUAUAAGGUGUCAUAUAUGAAAACUUGAUGUCAUGGCAAAAAAAAACGAAAGAGAGAUGCAAUGAGUUUCAUCUAGUUGAAGCGGCACUGUUUCCACGUCUGAAUGUGUCAUAUAGUUAAGUGCAAUGAGAGCAUUUGAAACACAAAAUUAAAAUUAUGCAGUGUCAAAGGUUGUCUGAACCAUGAAGCAAAUCCUAUUUACUAACAUGACAUACUUAGAAAAUAAAACUAUGCUUGAGAUUGGUCUCUUGUUCAUUUGAUUACUGCUAUACUGCUACCAAGCGCAGUGUUUAGCACGCCUUCAAUUCAAAAAUCAAAACAGAGAGUGCAAUUAAGCAUCACCAAAAUAAAAAGAAAGUACCAUUAAUACGAGUUACUAUUGACCAGACGGUUAUAAUUUGACCAAGGGCUCUGCAGUACUAUGGAUAUAUAUGAGUUUUCUUUCACAAGAAAAGACAAAAAUAUUUUUUAAAAAUGCUAAUAUAUAUGAGGGUGCAUGUAUUAGGUGAUACUAAAACAGUAGUUAGUAAUUUUAUGCCAAAUAUUUCCAUUUGAUUUUUAUUACUUCUAUGAGCUUAUCUACUGAAUCUGCCAGUCAUACAGUAGUGUUUUUUCUCUCACAACAAAUCAGCGAACAAUACUUUCAACCAUAGCUUAUUAGCUAAGCGAACAGAGCGUACCUUACUGCAAUUUUAGCAUGGUUUCGAUAUACAUUAGAGAGAGAGAGAGUGCAAUUAAAGCCCGCUAAAGAUGGACAGAGUACAAUUAAUAGUAGUGCUUAGCCUAAGGGGCGGUGUUGGUUCUAUAUAUACUCCCUCCAUACCCAUAAAGAAAGUCAUUUUGGAUAAGGUUUGGGUCAAACAUUGAGAAUAUAAAUCAUGAAUAACUUUUAGUUGUCGAAUUUGGAAAUAUGAAAACUAUAUGAAUAGAUUUGUCUUAAAAAAUACUUUCAUAAAAGUAUACAUAUACCAUUUUUUAAUAAAUAUUUUUAUAAAAACAAGGAGUUAAAAUUAGGCUUUGGAGACCGUAUCGUUGUCCUAAACGACUUCCUUUAUGGGUAUAGAGAGAGUAUAUAUGAAAAAUUGAACGACCGAGGUCUGCUUCUAGUUUUUUUUUAAAAAAGCAAAUCAAACAAGCAUGAAGUUCAAAUUGGGCAAAAUAAAAAAAACGAUACAACUACGGUCGGUUGGAGGCCCGCUCUUGUGUGACCUAUUGUGGCGUUUUGGAUGGUCGCGUACCCACUACACUUGUGUUGAACUUUGUUCGUACCAGCUAUAUGUCAUGACAACAACUCUCGUUCGGUGGGCCGCGCCCUGCAUGCAUGCAACGACGCACACGAAUGGGAUGUUAAACGAAAAAUCCAAGGGUCAUAGGAUUUCGGGGUGACAUGGCACCCACUUCUUCCCCUAGAAGCUGCCGGAUGGUUUAGAUGAGAAUGAAGCCCGAUCUGCGCGCGCGUUAGCUUUAUUGAAUUUCCAUUUGUUUGUGCCCUUUGUGGGUGACACUCUGCAAAUCACUUUUUACUGAGUGCCCGAUAUAAAAUACUAAACAAAGCGUUUGACACUCGGCAUAGAGCGUGUCUCCGGUAGUGCACCUUUAUGCUCUGAGGAGAAAAAAGGCUAUUGUAGUACUAGUUUCUCCCAAGGUAGAUAGUGUGUAUAUACGUAAGCAAGCACACCAUUAUAUGACCGUGUGUUUUUAAAAUGAGCAGCUAGCUAGCAGCUACCGUCCAUGUGUGUACAGUUGCACACCACUCCAUAUCCCAUCGCAUGGGUUCCUACUGUUCUCCUUAAGUUUCACUUACUCGAUCGACUGUUUGCUUAUCUGUGAAAUGAGUAUGCUUUUAAAAAAACUGCUAUGAAAGGAGUGUUACCAUUGGCAGUUUUGUUCACUGAGCUUUUGGGUCGUCAGCGAGAAAGUUUUUCGAUCUACCCAUGCAUUGUUUGAUGAAGGAGAUGAUCAUCUAGGAUGCUCAUAACUAGUUAUUUGGCUAAUAACUCGUUGAACAUUUGGCUAAAUAAUAAUACAUGAGGAGAGGCCAUUGUUGACGGUCCUUAAGUACCAAACAUAAUCAUCAAAUAAAUAAAGAAAAGGAUCCAAAUGCAACCAACACCCAGACUUAGGGUUUUAUCUGACAGAAUUCCACGAGUUUUGGUGUUUGUCUAUUUCUGCAGGGGGUUAUCAGAAAAUAAGGAAGAAAGGCCCACAUGUCGGGAUUACAUAGAGAUAUCAACGCACCGCGCAAUUUUCUACCAUCUAGAAGACUCCAGAAGCCACGGGAAGAAAGCAGAGGCCGAAAGGGGCCAGGCCCAGGGCGCCCGCCCUGUCCUGGACUCCGUUCAGGACUCUCUUCGCACACGAUGUUCCACCGACCUAAAGGAUCAAGGAUAACGUAGUACCACAUCGCCUACCGACCCAAAAACGCAUAGAGGAGGAGGACUAUAUAAGGAGACCCCCCUGGCCCCUGGAGAAGAAAAGAAGUUAUCAUAGAGAUUGUGGGGUGCCCUCGAAGGAAAACCUCUUCUCUAAAUAAUAUUUCUUUUUAGGCUUAGCAACCAAUGUAAGUAGAAAUAGAUCUUCUAGUUUCUACUAGAUUGAGAGAGAUAGAGUGAAGGUGUAGAUCGGAGGAAGGCCGGCCUGUCGGUGUCUACUCCGAGUUGUACCUGCGGGAUCAAGUCUCCUAACCCGAGGCUUGCUUCUAAGAUUCUUCAGUAAUUCGGCUUCUAAUUCUAGUAAGUUCUUGUUUUAUUGUUCUUUGGUUUAUGAGUUUACUUUAAUCCUCUUCCGGUUGAGUAUUAGAGUAAUCAUUGCUAGCAUAAACGUGGUGUUUAGGCUAGGGUACUCAUAGAUAUCCCCUGACUAGCUGGACCGUGGUAUAGUAGCGAGGAACGUGACAUUUCCGAGUUACCUUUGUAUCCCAUAUCUUGUUAGCAGGACGGGUAGGGUUUAUAGGUGCGGGUCGAACAUCCUUUGUGGUGUCUAGAUUCCGUAAGCUUCCCCAAUAGAACAGUAGAUCAUCCUUACCAAGGUUAGAACGAGACUACGGUUGCAGUCUUCUCUAUACAUCACUCACAUCGAGAAACAUUCUUUGUAGCCUAAAGGGAUAGUAGCAAUAGAUUUGGUUAGUCAGAUGCACCCUUUCUCCCAGUGGUAAAAAUAUAAAUACGAUACUCUAGAAAACCUCCCGGGUGAAAUGCUCACCGAUAUCCGUGCGCUUGCGGAUCAUUUUCUUAUUGCGUUACCAAAUAUCAACAAGCAUUUCUGGCGCCGUUGCCGGGGAGAAAGACGGUUUGCUGAGAUAACUUUGAGUCUUGCUAUUAUCUUGUAUUAUACUUUUAUACUUUUAUUCUUUUAUCUUUUUAUUUUUAUCUUUAUGGAUAACUUAAAUUCCAUACCUAUUAUUGAAUUCUUUGCACCUUCGGAGACUAGCCAUAGACCAUGGGAGUCAACAAGUCCUGCCCCUAAUUAUGAUCUGUGUCCGGAGUUGAUUGCAAUAGGUCAAAACCAACCCUUUUCUAUAGCUGAGGUCCUAUCUUUUAAUCAAGAAGAUAAUGCACUUUUAGCUAAACCUAGGGAAUGUGUUAAUCUUUCUAUAAAUUCUGGUUUAGACCUAGCCCUACAAGACCAUGUUUGUUCUCGAUAUUUUCAUAUUGGUCUUAAUCAUAUACCCUUUGAUAGAGUCUUUCUUUCUUUAUCUAUUUGUAAAGGAAGGUAUGUCUUCAUUCGUGGACAUCCUUCUUGUACUAGUCUUUAUAGAAAAAUCUUAGAGAUAGAGAAGGAAUCAUCUCCCAGACAAGGAAAUAAAGUUUCAAUAGCCAAUUUCCAAACAUUUCAAUCCCAUGAUUUGGCUAUCCAACCCAUCCUUGAGCCUAAUAAUUUCUACUAUGCUCUUUCUCUUGAACCUCCCGAUAAUCCUAUGAAUCUCUCUAGACAUCCCAUGCAUAAGAGUCACCAAGACCACAAGGAGGAUCGAGAAGAGCAACAUCAAUGGCUAGAGGGCAUUAAAAAUCCAUGUGCUAUCACCAUUGAAUGGAUAGAUAAAACAAACUUGAGAGACAAUCCUAGAGGAAUUUUAAUCAUUCAUGAAGAAUCAUCCUUGGAGUUUGAGAAUGAGAGAAACAACAGUGAGCAUGGAAGUUAUUUCAUAAAUACCUCAUCAAGUCCUUGCUCAUAUAAAACAUCUCCCCAAUCAAUUGGUCUCUCUAACCUUACCACAUUUGAGAUCUCCAACCCCCUCUUCUUUUCUAUUUAUAAAAACUUUAAAAGAGCGGUUGUCGAUGCAUAUGUCUAUAAUAAAUAUUGCAGAUCUCGUUGAGUUGAUUGAUGGUUUCCCAAGGACAAGCUUAGUGUCCUAAAACAAGCACUUAUCAGAUCGUAACAUGAACUUCUAAUUAUUUACAACAUUGCCUUGUGUAUUGAGCAUAUAAGAUAAUUGUAGAAAUAUUCCUUCGGGUAUUCUUGUCACUAACCUUUCCAGGAUUGGAGCAAAAAGAUCGGAUGAAUGACAAGCACAAGGUAUGUCCAACCAAUCAUCAUGCAACAUUGAAUUAAAUUCAUCCAACAUUGAAUUUUGCAAAAUUCAAGCUUGGGGGAGUACUUUACAUAAAAACAUCAUUUGCCAUGUUGCUAUGUUGGUUGUCCUUACCUUUGAGACAUGCUCAAUUUGUUAAAUACUAAUCACACUACUUCAUCUCCACUUGAGUAGAUCUCUAUAAAUACCAUCAUGCUACCUUUGUUUAUCCUAGUAAGUGUUGGUUUGGAAGUACUCGACAUACUUUCAUUGGCAUUUAAAUUAAGCAUGGUGCUUAGGUUAAACAACCUUCCUUAAUCUAAUUAGACAUGGAGUCUAGUUUGUUUACUGAACUAAAAACUGCUUGAGUAGAUAUUGGUAUAUUUUGUGGGACUAACCCCUGCAGGAAAACUUUCAAUAUCAACCUGGGAAGUCCUGAGAUAAACUCACAUUAGAGAUGAAGAAAGUGACACAUGAAGUUUAACAAUUUGCACAAGAAAGACGUAGCUCAUAAGAGAUGAUCCAUGAAGAGUGCCACAAACACGAUGCACAACCGCUAAGAAAGGAAAGCUUCCACAAGGUGAUACUAUUCCAUCACUCUUCAAGUAAGGUAACAUUUUAAGGUACACGACUAUCACUUUUAUAAGUUUGUCCUUGGUUCUGGCGUUCACAUGAAUAAAGAGACAAACAUGUAUGAUUUGUAACUCCAAAUUAACCAACCCAAUUAAUUCAACAUGUUUAGUCCUUUAAUCUUUAAUCUUAGUACUACCUUCGUGAUUCCACACUCCUAAUCAUAUAAGCUAAAGUAUUGCACAUUCAAUCUUUGGAAGAUAUAAACAAAACAUAAAUAUAGAUAGAUUAUCUUUCCACUAGGUUGAGCCAUCUGAUCUGACAAAUGUUUUAAAUGCUACACUCAUGAUCCUAUCAACUUUGUCUUGCUCACUAUGCUUAAGGUUAGAGAAGAACAAACACACUUUUGGUUCUGUUGGUAUUUUUCACCAACAGGGCCCAUGCACUUGAUCUCUACCUUGUCUCUAUGAGCAGGAACAUUUCGAGCAUAAUAUGAAGGAGUUUUAUAACUCCCAAACUCCACCAAGAGAAGAACCGGGAUCUACGAGCACAAACACACUGGAGAUAUUGGACACUCAGGCAAUCACUGCCCUGAGAUGCUUGAGGACGUGAACUCCGUCCUCAACAAAAUCAAGGUUAGAAUCAAUAGAGGCCUAAUUACUCAGAGAGGUGAUCCAGGACGUCCCGUCAUCCCGAUCUCCAUCAGCAUGGUGGACUUCCCAGAAGCACUCUGCGACUUUGGCUCCAGCGUCAACAUUAUGCCCAGGGUUGCAGAUCGGACACUCAGUUUCCCAAAGGAAAUAUUGAAGAACCUCUGCGUCCGAGUUGGUACCUUGUACACUCUAGCAGACUUCGUGGUGAUAGAGACUGGUACUGAGGAGAGGGCACCCAUCAUCUUAGGGAGGCCAUUCCUAAACACCAGAGCUGUCAUCUACGUUAAUGCUGCCAAGAUCAGUUUCUACAUCAAGGGGAAGAAGGAGACUUUCCUUCAAGAACAAGACUACACAAAUUUCAGAGCAAUCCCGACACGAGCCAAGGAAGAGGACCAACAGGAUGAACAACCGAGUCAGCUAAGAUGGUCACUGCAGUUCAAUGAGGUCAAGAUCGUCGACUCAAGUCGCCUUUCCUGAUCAAGAAGGACGACCCUGGUGUUCCAAGCAUCGAGUGCACAAUCAAUGGAUACUCUUUUCAGAAGACACUCUACGACACCGGAUCUGACGUCAACGUAAUGGCCGCAGUCACUUAUCAGCUCCUGCAUGGAACCAUGCCCCUACAACCAAUAUAUAUUCAGCUCCAGAUGAUUUUCAGGUGAUCGACAUGGGAGAAGACGAGUACGAUCCACCCAUCAUCCUUGGAAGACCAUUCCUCAACACUAUCAAAGUUAUCAUCUACAUUGGAAUCGGAGAAGUCCACGUGUACUUUCCCUCUGAGAAGGUACACCGCUAUUUUACUGACCCUAACUAUAUAGUUGAAGACUCUAAGCAGGUCAGGACAAGAAGAAGACUACGCAACCGCAACCAGAGGAGGCAAAUCAUCAAGGACGGAUGGGUAGACUACGAAGGAGAAGUGAUAAGGUUUGAAGACAUACAGCUUGAAUAGAAUUGUCCCGAGAAGACCGUAGCACCGAGUCAGGUGUUGAAAGAGAAGAUAGUUACACACGAAGAGGAGGCGCCGCCGGAACCACCGACUAUGCCAUCCAGCGAAUCCCAAGAUGACUGAGAAAACGGAGAGUCCCGUUCGGAGGACUUAAAAAUACCGAACGCCUUGCCAAGAGAAUUCAAAGAUAAAAGAAGACUACACAGAAUUCAAGGAUAAAAGAGGACUAGUAGACGGAGGACAUUCUAAUCGCUGUUAGGGUACUACCGACAUUCAAAUACACCUCCACCACUUGCGAGCUACAUCAGAAGAAAUUAUGUCAAAAUCCAGCUUGGGGGAGAGCACCCCCAUUUUUCCAGCUAAGUGUUUCUACUCGCAUUUAUACUUUACUCAAAUAAUAAAAGAUACAUAAUCAUGAAAACCCAAAUAAAGAUUUUGUGCUUUUAUAUAUAUCUUUGCUUAGUUUGCUAAAUAAAUAAAGAAAUAAAGUUUGCUAUGAACCCUCAUGAUAAACUCUCACAUGGAAAUGAUGAAUAGUUGCUCUGCAUGACUAGUUCUUAAAAUUGAAAUCUCUCUCAAGUUUAGGCAUGACUGUUAUGAAGUAAGAUUUGCUCUAAACCUGAACUUGUGGGAAGAGUACUUGAUCUAAAGUCUAAGUUGUUAACGGAUAUGAUAUGGGAAGGUUGAGCUGCUGUUUAUUUGUUCCUAGAGAUGCUAGAAUUCUGGAGAAUUUUAUCUUUGAAAAUCUUUAAAAUAACACAUGAUGAGUUCCUAUAUGAUGAGAGUUUAAAAUCCUACCACAGCCAUAUAUACAUGCUUGCUAGAGUUUGAACCACACAUUUACUUUUUACUGCUUAUGAGCAUUGAGUGUGGUCAAGCUGUGUAGACCCUUAGGAGCUUGUCAUGCGGUUAAAAUCAAGAUUCACUUGCACGUGCACUCAUACAUGCUGCUUCUACUCCGGAAGUACGCAUCCACAUACAUCCACUCAUUUCCAUCUCCAGAUUCACCCAAAAUUAUUCUACUCCUAAUCCGGGAGAGAAUAGCAAAAAAUAUUUUCCUAUCCCUGUGAAAUAAAUGCUCCAGUUAUUUUGGUUACUACCACUUGCUAUAUUAUUUCAGGAGAUGAGUGCUCAAAAAAAAGAGAGAAAAAAAAUAAUACGAGGAAAUAAAAAGGGGCAAGUGCCCGGAACCUCGAAGAAAAGAAAAAGUGAGACGAGAGGUAAAAAUGGACAAGUGUCCGACAGUAGAAUUAGGGGUACAAGAUACCCACCUGAGAGAAAAGAAAAAGAAAAUAUAGAGCAUCUCAUUCCCCUCAAAAAGCUUCAAAGUGCAAGAAAGGUAUGUAUCCCCUCAAAAGAGCAAAAAUAGAAUUAGACUUUCACCAUUGUUAUCACCAUCAUCACCAUACACCAUUCAUUCGCCACACAUGCACAUCUUGAUUUAACUUAUUGACUUGUUUCUCUGGAUCCAUGGUUUGACUAUGCAAUAAAUGUCUUGUAAGUAUGUAUUAGCUGUCUCCCACCUAUGAACUCCAGAUAUCAAAACCUUAUUAGAGUAGGGUGAGAGAGAAGGUAAUAUCACUAUGCAUUAUACCAAAAAUAUCACAUACUUUGAGAGAAGGCAUAUACCAUUACUGCCUUGGUAAGGAUCCAGAAAUACCACAAAAGAGAGAUUUGAGAGAAUCAUAUAAGGAAUCUCUGAGUUUUAUUUGAAAAUCUGCAAAAACUCCAGAGCUAUAGCUGAUCAAGAAUAAGAGACAUGGCGCUUGACUUGACCGUUCUAUCUUUUAACUGCUCAAGACACAAGUGACAGUUACAAGCCCCAUGGUGAAAGGUAAAAUGAGUAAGUUUUAAGUCUUAACAGUUUAUUCUAACUCAUAGAUGAGAUCUUGUUUGAAUGCGUGUGUACUUUUAAGGCAUGAAACCACUGCAGAAACUUUUGAGUUCAUCCUUGCUCAGGGACGAGCAAGAGGUAAGCUUGGGGGAGUUGUUGACGGUCCUUAAGUACCAAAUAUAAUCAUCAAAUAAAUAAAGAAAAGGAUCCAAAUGCAACCAAUACCUAGACUUAGGGUUUUAUCUGACAGAAUUCCACGAGUUUUGGUGUUUGUCUAUUUCUGCAGGGGGUUAUCAGGAAAUAAGGAAGAAAGGCCCACAUGUCGGGAUUACAUAGAGAUAUCAACGCACUGCACAAUUUUCUACCAUCUAGAAGACUCCAGAAGCCACGGAAAGAAAGCAGAGGCCGAAAGGGGCCAGGCCCAGGGCGCCCGCCCUGUCCUGGACUCCGUUCAGGACUCUCUUCGCACACGAUGUUCCACCGACCUAAAGGAUCAAGGAUAACGUAGUACCACAUCGUCUACCGACCCAAAAACGCAUAGAGGAGGAGGACUAUAUAAGGAGACCCCCUGGCCCCUGGAGAAGAAAAGAAGUUAUCAUAGAGAUUGAGGGGUGCCCUCGAAGGAAAACCUCUUCUCUAAAUAAUAUUUCUUUUUAGGCUUAGCAACCAAUGUAAGUAGAAAUAGAUCUUCUAGUUACUACUAGAUUGAGAGAGAUAGAGUGAAGGUGUAGAUCGGAGGAAGGCCGGCCUGUCGGUGUCUACUCCGAGUUGUACCUGCGGGAUCAAGUUUUCUAACCCGAGGCUUGCUUCUAAGAUUCUUCAGUAAUUCGACUUCUAAUUCUAGUAAGUUCUUAUUUUAUUGUUCUUUGGUUUAUGAGUUUACUUUAAUCCUCUUCCGGUUGAGUAUUAGAGUAAUCAUUGCUAGCGUAAACGUGGUGUUUAGGCUAGGGUACUCAUAGAUAUCCCCUGACUAGCUGGACCGUGGUAGUAGCGAGGAACGUGACAUUUCCGAGUUACCUUUGUAUCCCAUAUCUUGUUAGCAGGAUGGGUAGGGUUUAUAGGUGCGGGUCGAACAUCCUUUGUGGUGUCUAGAUUCUGUAAGCUUCCCCAAUAGAACAGUAGAUCAUCCUUACCAAGGUUAGAACGAGACUACGGUUGCAGUCUUCUCUAUACAUCACUCACAUCGAGAAACAUUCUUUGUACCCUAAAGGGAUAGUAGCAAUAGAUUUGGUUAGUCAGAUGCACCCUUUCUUCCAGUGGUAAAAAUAUAAAUACGAUACUCUGGAAAACCUCCUGGGUGAAAUGCUCACCGAUAUCCAUGCGCUUGCGGAUCAUUUCCUUAUUGCGUUACCAAAUAUCAACAGCCAUGACUCGAUCGAGUAAACAUGCAUGACGGCCAAGGAGCGGGAGGGACACCUUUGGUAAUUGCAUAAGGUGCCUAUUGCAGCAGUUGCAAUUUUUAGCAGUGGUGUAUUAGUCUUAAUGACAUUCCAAGAACGGAUGACAAGCAGUGAUCUGGCUAGAGUAAACAUAUAUGACAGCCAGUUUUAGGAGACCUACAUUAAUUAUGGUGUAAACUAUAUGGGACUGGCCGGUGGGGCCUAGUGAAGGUUCCUCUAUCUCGUGCUAAGAUUAACACUAUCUCUAAAUAGACCAAAACGAAAUCCAAGUCACCUAGAGUACCAUCGAGUGCGUCUAAAAUAAUUUCUAAGUAUAUAUUCAGCAAAAAUUAUAUAUAUACCUAUUUUAAGUCAAGAUUAUUAACCUGUGCCCAACCAGCUAUGAGCAUGAGAGGGGUCAAGUCCUGAUCGUCGUGGAGGGGCUGCUGAUACACCACAUUUGGCAUUUCCCUUUGGGCUAUAUCUACAUGCAUGUUGGGUUUAGUCCCUGCCAUUGCACGGUUGUGCAACCGUGCAGUAUCUAAACAAUAGACAAAUGUGGCUAGCGGGUGCGCAGCAGUGAAAUAACUUCAGAUACAUACGGGUUUAGUUAACUCGGGACACAUGCGGAUUUAGUUAACUCCAGAUACCUGCAGGUUUAGUAGUUUGAAAAAAGGUCAUUAUAUUUUACGUGCGCGGUUGGAUGUUUUGGAUGCAAUAGCAUCGCACUCUUUGCCAAAAUGGUGGUACGCGCAACCGUGAAAUAGCUUUAGAUACAUACGAGUUUAGUUAACUCGGAACACGUGCAGGUUUAGUUAACUCCAGAUACGUAUGGAUUUAGUAGUUUCAAAAAAGUUCAUUAUAUUUUACGUGCACGGUUGGAUGUUUUGGAUGCAAUAGCAUCACACUCCUUGCCAAAAUGGUGGUUGCGCAACCAUGAAAUAGCUUCAGAUACAUACUGGUUUAGUUAACUCAGGACACGUGCGUGUCAGUUUAGUUAACUCCAGAUACGUGCGGAUUUAGUAGUUUCGAAAAAGUUCAUUAUAUUCUACGUGUGCGGUUGGAUGUUUUGGAUGCAAUAGCAUCACACUCCUCACCAAAAUGGCGAUAGUAAAUAGAGACACAAGGGGCAAAAGUGUCACCGCUUCUACUUCCACGUGCAUUAUUAAGAAUAGUUGCUUUUUAUUCUUGAAUGAAGAUCUAUGUUACUAUGCAUGAUUAUAUGUAAUAAAAAACACACACAAGAUAGUUUCAUGUACAUUCAUGCAAUAGAGAAUCAUGGCGGCAUGUGUUUACGCACGUGCAUGAUAAUGAGAAAAUAUUGUUUCUAGAAUUAGAUGUUGAUGUCAACCGUUUUUGGCCAAAAAUCAGAUGGAUAACAACAGAUAUAUAAAUAUUACUGACUAUUAUAAAUUAUUACCAACAUAGCUUGAUAACUUCGGGAACUUCAUAAUCCUCAUUGAUAGGGUAGCCACGGUUGUAAUAAUAUUACUAUGAUGCAUGAUGUAACAAAAUUUCAACAUGAUGGUGAAGCAACCAUGUGUGUGCAUGAUAAUACCACUAUAACCAUAUAUGUGCAGUUACGACCUAUGGGCUUGGACAGCAAAUCCGAUCCCCAAGAAGGUCUGGCUGACCUUCACCAGCCGUGCAAAGAAUGCUGCCCUGGCAUCCAUAAUGAUGUCGGAGACACCACCGGAGCACUGGUAGCAUGGGAGCAAGCAUGGGGUCAUCAUCCACCUGAAAGAAAUCCACGACUACACCGUCUCCACCGUCGACAACAACGGCAAGUUCUCUCCCGGUAAGCGUUGACUCCCUGAGUGGCAUGUGGGUGUGAUUGAUGGUCACCAGGUCCCACCGCGAGCCUUCGACGAAUUCCCCCAUCAGCCGCCACCACCGCGUACCAGCGACAACGAACAUGGUGGCGGCAGCAAGGCAGCGCGACGCCACGAUAAUCGUGGCCCCAAGGGCAAGUACAACAACGACCACCCGGGCUAUGACUUCGGCGGCAAUCAUAGGCGUCGUCAUGACAACGACAACGACGACUACGAUGACCACGGCCAUGGGGGCCGUGGCGGUCGCAAACGCGGCCGUGACUACGGGGGCCGCUACAAUGAUGACGCCCCGGUGUACCAUGAGCGCUCCCGCUCACCCCGCAGGCGUGUGUGGGGACAGGGCGGGGGGCACAGGGCGCGCCAACAAGAUGAGUUCAAGACGCUGCAAGACCUCCCAGAAGUGCUGCCCCAGCUCAACUAACUGCAUAACUUGCAGAGCUGCAUGCUUCAGGACCUGUUCAAGGUUCAUGCUGCAGCACUGCAGGAUGCUGUCCAACACAUUAUCGGAUGGCAAGGAGAGGAAAAGGCAGCCCAAGGCUCCAUGGUAGCCAUACAAGCACUACUCAACGACUACAACACCAAGGCCUGCAUGCUGGCUGCUAGCCUGGGCCUCGUGGGGGCACCCCCAAUGGCUAACCAGAGCAAUGGCGGCUCUAGGAUUGGUGCCACUGGGAAUGAAGCCUCGUCCGCCACACUCAAGCAUGCUGCACCGAACACCACUGUUCCGAUGUCCGAUGUCUUCGCACGCCUCGUGUGGGACAUUCCGACAAAGAGUACAACAAUACCAAUCCUGCAUGCAGCUGUGGCGCCGAAGUGCUCCAUCACUGAAGUGGAUCAGGCUCUACAACUGCUACAGCUUCAACCGCCUGGGGCCGCUACACCUGCCGAGGCCACAGCAGAGCCUACCUCGCCAAUCGUCAACAUGCAGGCCGCGUGCUACCAGGCUAUCUUCGUAGGUCUGAAUGUUCAAAACACUAACAUUGCUCAAACUGAUGAACUCCCUCACAGUAACAGCCCUCCCAUGGGGGGACAAACUCCAUCAGGUGUUGCUGCUUUCUUCGCCAACGCGACGCCGCCGAUCAUCCAGAGCAAUCCCAUCCCGUUGAAGGCCCCGCCAGCAAUACAUCAACAUCGCAGGCGUCAGCGCCAAGUCUUCGACAUGUCAUCGGUACGCCGCAGUGCAUGCCUCGCCAAAAAUCGACCCAUGACACAGAUGCAGCAUGCACAACAGAACUUAUGCAGGAAGCUGGGGCUUUUGCAAGAUGAUCUCCAACCUGUUGAAAUUGCCUUGCAGGAAUUUGUCGCCAUGUUCAAUGGGCCACUGUCGGAUCAUGUGAUUGCGGCGCUCUCUGAGAUGUUCAACUUGGAGAAAGGCUCAGCAAUGGAGAUUGAUGAGGCCCUCAUCAAUCUGGCAGGAGAAGGAGUCGUUGACCUCCAAGAGGCAACGCUACAUGCUAAAACCUAAAGCAAACAGUAUGAUGGCUCAUGAGUUUUAACUCUGUUAUCAUUAUGCAUCCAGAUUUCAAACCUUCAUGGUCGCGACAUUUUUAUUCCAGCUCCUAUGAUGUACUACCUAAGGCAAGAUUGCUGCACCAACUGAAGACCUGUUGCACUGUUUUAUUCCGGCUACCACGGCCUAGUAAUUUUAUUCAACUCCAAACCGUCUUCCUCUUAUGUGCUCUGUGCAAGGCGAUUUUCAGCAGGCUUCAUGUUGUGCCUGUGACUGCUGCAUUUUACAACUCUCCUACACAUUACUGCAUACUGCUGCUUCUCCUCGCCUUCAUGCUGCUAUUUCCUGCACAUUUUUUUGUUUGGGCCGCCUGCAGAGUUUGUUGGGUUCACAAAUGAUAGGGCCAAACAUAGAUAUAUUAUGCUGGAACGUCUGUGGUUUGAAUCGCCAAGAUAGGAAGGAUGUUGUGCAUCAGACUUUGGCAACCACAAGGUGCCACAUUGCUUGCCUCCAAGAAUCAAAGCUGUCCUCUUUGGAUCAGCACACUGCAGCCUACCUAGGCGGUUUCCGUCUGCGUAUCUUUGUGUCUAAGCCUGCGACUGGCCUACUUGAAACGCGUGGAGGAAUCGUUGUUCUUUGGAAUGAAUACUACAUCACUUUAAGCAACUGUGUCACUGGAGAAUUCCAUCUCUCGGCUGACAUUGAAGUUAGGGAGUGCUUAACAAAGUUUAGACUAUCUGUUAUCUACGGGCCAACUAGAUACCGAGCACGUCAAAGGUUCCUAGAGGAACUAAAAGGAAUCAAGCUAGAGAACAAUACAUGGUGGCUAAUCCUUGGUGAUUUCAAUUUAAUUUGCAAGAUAAGAACAAUAUAAGGCUAAAUCUUAGUCUAAUGCGACAAUUCCGCGAGGCCCUGAAUGAGUGUGAACUUCAGGAGAUACACCUCCAAAAUCGUAAAUUCACAUGGAGCAAUGAAAGGCGCCAACCAACAUUGAUGAAACUAGAUAGAUUUCUCUGCAAUGCCGAGUGGGACUCAGCAUUCCCCUUGCAUGUCCUUCAUGCCCUAUCCACCUCUCUAUCCGAUCAUGCUCCACUCCUGCUCUCCAACCAAAGUGGCCCACGACGGCCAAGGACAUUUCGCUUCGAAAAUUUCUGGGUUAAACUCUCAGCUUUCAAAGACGUGGUAAUGAAGGUAUGGGAGGAACACACAGAUCAUCAUGAGCCUUUCCGCGUCCUAUACAACAAGUUGCGCGUCACAGCACAACACUUGAAAAAAUGGAGCAAUGGAAUUUGCUCAGAUGCUAAAAUGAAACUACAUAUGGCACUAGAAGUCAUCUUACGUUUAGAUGUUGCACAAGAAAAUAGAAGCUUAUCAUUGGCAAAAUUCAACCUCAGAGCAAAGCUUAAAAGACGGGUUCUCGGCUUGGCAGUCAUUGAAAUAGCUAGAACUAGGCAAGCAUCGCGUGUGACCAACAUCAAAUUGGGCGAUGCUAACACAAAAUAUUUUCAUCGAAGAGUAAACGCGAGAAGAAGGAAGAACCACAUCCAGAGGUUACGGAAAGACCAAGGAUGGGCGGUCUCACAUGAGGAAAAAUCCACAGUGGUUCAUGAGCAUUUCCAAAAAAUUAUGAACCGGCCGCCGCAAAGGCAAAUUGAUCUAAAUUGGGAGUGUCUACAAAUUUCACCACAUAAUCUUGACAUGCUUGCCGACAACUUUACAGAAACUGAGAUCAAGUGUGCCAUCAACCAGAUGUCUUCCGAUAAGGCGCCCUGUCCGGAUGGCUUUACGGGCCUUUUUUUCAAAGAAUGUUGGGACAUUAUCAAGGUGGAUGUCAUGAACGCAGCCAAUGCUUUCCAUCAGCUGCGCACCUCCAAUUUAGCCAUUCUCAACACAACGAAUGUCGUGUUCAUUCCAAAAAAGGAUGGGGCUGAGGCGGUCUCAGACUUUAGGCCCAUAAGCUUAAUUCACUCCUUCGCAAAGAUCAUCGCAAAGGUUAUGGCAAUGUGCCUAGCGCCCCACAUGAAUAGAUUGAUCUCCAAGAGUUAGAGCGCCUUCAUUAAAAAAAGAAGCAUCCACGACAACUUCAUGUCAGUUCGAUGUGUUGUGCGUCGAUUCCAUAGAGCCAAGACCCCUGCCCUGUUUUUCAAGCUUGACAUUUCAAAAGCUUUUGACUCGAUCCGCUGGGAAUACCUACUCACUUUAAUGAGCAAGUUCGGCUUCCCCCCAAAAUGGAGGGAGUGGGUGGCUGCCCUAUUAUCAAUGUCAUCUUCCUGAAUCCUUCUGAAUGGUGUCCCUAAUGCGCCUAUUAAACACGGUAGAGGAGUUCGCUAGGGGGAUCCUCUGUCACCGUUGCUUUUUGUCAUUGCAAUCGACCCUCUGCAGAAGCUCUUGCAACAGAAGAAGGACUUUUGAAAAAAAUUCAAGGGAAAACAUUCUGUAAUGCGGACAUCCAUGUAUGCAAAUGACACUGCAAUCUUCAUCAAGCCAAAUAAGAAGGAUGUCACUACAAUCACCGAUAUUCUCACCAAGUUUGGUGAAGUAACAGGUUUCAAAACAAAAUUUGGGAAGUCGCUUGUCAUCCCCAUAAGAUGUCAAGGUGUUGAUCUUGAUGAGGUACUAUGUGCUUUCCGUGCUAGACGAGCGCACUUCCCAACUAAAUACCUAGGUCUACCCUUAUCAAACACCAGACUACGGAGGAUCGAUUUUCAGCCUCUUGUUGAUAAAGCUGUGAGUAAGCUCACUGUGUGAAAUGGCAAAAAUAUUAAUCAUGCAGGAAGGUCCACUUUGGUCAAAGCGGUACUCACCUCACAAUCGGUGUAUUGCCUCACAUCACUAAGAGCUCAUAAAUCCACACUGAAGGAGAUUGACAACCUCAUAAAGAGCUUCCUUUGGGCUGGGUCCGAGAAGCUAAUCGGAGGGAAAUGCAAAGUGAAUUGGCCACAUUCCACAAGGCCAAGUGAAUCUGGGGGUCUAGGCAUUCUUCAUCUUGGAAAGUUUGCAAGAGCACUAUGUCUUCGAUGGCUAUGGAAAGAUUGGGAGGGGGAAGGAACGAUCCUGAACAACCCAGACUCGCCAUGUGACACUAUCAAUAGGCUACUUUUCGCUGCAGCAACUUCAAUCACAAUUGGUGAUGGCAUGAGAGCUUCUUUCUAGAGCAGCGUAUGGCUGCAAGGCCAGAGGCCACAAGAUAUAGCACCAAAUAUUUUUCAGAUCUCAAAAAACAAAAACAAGUCAAUCUACGAGGGCAUGCAAAAUAAAGCGAGGAUUAGGGACAUAGAUCUGCGGCAUAUAUACAAGAUUUAGUCCCCAGCGCUUCAUGGAAUAUGUCCAACUUUGGAACGCUCUCAGCCACAUCGAGCUACAUCCGGACCGGGAGGACAACAUUAUUUGGAAAUUUAACCCGAAUGGAAAAUUCACAACGGGAUCGGCCUACCAUGCGCAAUUCAUUGGAGCAACGGUGACAAAUUUCAAUUGCCUCAUCUAAAAAGUUUGGCCACCACCAAAGUGCAAUUUUUUUGCAUAGCUAGCCAUCCAAAAUAGGAUAUGGACGGCGGAUAGGCUUCAGGCGCGCAGAUGGGCAAACAAUGGAGUGUGUGCCUUAUGCAGGCAUAGUCAAGAAUCUGGCGUCCACCUAUUUCAAGACUACUGCUAUACUAGGCAUAUCUGGGAGGGCAUUGCAAUAUGGUUAGGUAAUGAACAGCUGCGUCCUUCCACCUGGGUGCCAGCAGACUCUGUACAAAGUUGGUGGGACAACAUGGAUCACACACCUUCGAUGGCGAGGCGAGGCCUUCGUUCGAUCAUCAUGCUCGUUUGUUGGGAGAUCUGGAAAGAAAGAAAUGCACGAAUCUUUGAGCACAAGGAAUCUGCGAUAGCGCAACUCCUCCCGAAAAUCAAGGAUGAGGCAAGAGUGUGGGCAAUGGCGGGUGCAAAGCACGUUUCUAACUUAUUUUUGCGCUUUUGAUGUAAACUGUUCCUAAGGCGAGAUUUUGGAGUUGUAGCCUUUUUUAGGAUCUUUUCUUUAUAUGGUUGUACAGUGCCUGUCUAGGCUCUUUCUCUUUAAUACAAUAGGCAGCUCUCCUGCCGGUUUUGUUUCAAAAAAAAACAACAACCCUGUGAGAUGACCAUUGAUACAACCAUGGAUCCAUUUAUGGAGGGUGAGUUGAAAUUAAGGGCAAUUUAGUGUUACAUAAACACAAUUGUAAAGUGGUUACUAACUAAAGUUUCACACAAUUGCUAAUUCAAUGCAAUAGAGAGUAAAGACUAAAGAAAAGAACAUAUGAGGCUAAUUAAGAGACAAAAGUUGGUGUGUUUCUUGAAACAAAAUAAUUUAUGCAUGAUGUCAUCUAGAUGUGAAGAAGUAACUAGUGGAACUUAACAAACAAAAGGGGGGAGGAGCCCAGUUUUGCCUCUAGGAGGCUCCAUCCCUACAUGGAUCUACCACCAUCACAUGCCAAAACAUGUGUACCUGCAUGACUGUUAAAAAAGAUAAUUUUUUCGAAUAGAUGUUGAUGUACAUCAUUUUCCUUUUUUCAUUUUUUUUAACAAAAUCUUGAAUGGUUUACAACAGAAGCUCCUUGAUCAUAUAUGUGGUUAUAGUUGUAAGAGAAUGAUCCUUAUUAGGAUCAAAAUCUAAAAUGAACAUACAUCAUAAUUCUUGUUUACUAAGAACAGUUGUGACAAUCUUUUUUCCUUGGAGUGCCCAAGUGAGGCUGACAUUCUUGAACCAAACACCAUCCCUAGAUGAAGUGUCUCCUCUCCGUUCGUAAAUAGAGUAGAUAAUCGAAUUUCCACAACCAACGGAAAGAUUUAAGCAAAGAAUUGUUAUAGUGCACAUCUCGACAACUUAAUUAGCCUGAUACAACUUCAGUUGAAGUUAUACAGAUGAAGCAAAAGCACAAUUAAAUAAGUAGGUCCAAUCCAGUUCCUAUGUUUUAGUACAAUGAGUGUUGUGGGGAGAAGUGUGGUUAAAACAACCAUAAUAAAAUGUACCAAUUGACUAAGAAGCCUAUAAGCUAUACGAAACAGAGCACUUAAGCCUACAGAUCACGACUCACUAAUAAGUAAAUAUUUCAACCACUAAAUUUUUAAUAUAGUUUUGAUUUAGAAUAAAACUUAUUAUUAUUAGGACUUGGAUCAUUCAAUGGUCCAACUAAUUAAACCGUGAACUGAAACCUUGAGCAGUUUGUCAUCCAAUCCAAUCAAAAUAAAUCUAUCUGGAAGUUGUUAUAUACCAGUGUAAUCCUCGACGAGGGCUACCAUGUUGAAAUUAAGAGAAGUCUCUAUCAUAAUCAUCAAAUAUAGACCAAUGCUUUACACAACGACAACCAACUCCUUACUGAUUUUAAUUCAACACUAGAAUUACAUAUGUUUAUUGGUCUUCAGAACAUUCCUAUACUUAUUUUAAAAUUAACAUUUGAUAGCUUUUUUCUCCUCCGUUUUAACGCACGAGUAUCUUUGCUAGUGUAUGAAAAAAAUGGAGGGAAUUUUAGAGCGUGUCAUGCAUGGACAUCUUGCUCCUGCAGUACGGCACCAGGAAAAGGCAUAGCCCUGUCCUUGGAACAACCCAUAAGACUUGAGGCAAAUAUGAAAAAAAAUGCAGGAAAAACGAAUUUGAGAAGCAAAAAUAGAUUUAAAAAAGUUGUAUCGAUAUUAUGCUAAUUAAUUACUGCCCCACUCUAUCCUGAAAAGAACAUAAUUUUCUAAUGCAGGGCUUGUUUAGUUUGUGAAAAGAAAAGUUUUUGGGUACUAUAGCACAUUUGUAAUUAUAACAAUUAUAGUGUCCAAUCAUAAACUAAUUAGGCUUAAAAGAUUCAUCUUGCAAAAUAUAUGCAAACUGUGUAAUUAGUUAUUUUUAUAAUCUAAAUUUAAUACUCAAAACAUUCGAUGUGAUGGGGCAAAAAGUUUUGGGUGAGAACUAAACAUGGUCAUAGUACUGAGUUUAAUAAUUUUAUAUUUAGACAAUACUCUGUGUGUCACUGAAACAGAUGAUUGAUCUAUUUGUACUAUUCAAAAGUUUAGUGUGACUCCUAUACUAAAUUUACUUCACUCUGAUGCCACUUCCAUCAAGUGAGUGCUAACUCAUUAGUUGACACUUCUAGUGAUCGAGUGGCGCAUAGGGAAUUUUGAAAAAAAAAACAAAUGUCGGAUGUACAAAUUUUUAUUGAACAUUUUUUAUUCUAAACAAUAUUAAACAAAGAAAAUUUCUUAGUGAAAGAGAACAAAUGGGGGAAUUUAUCUUUGAGGGGCUGGUCUAUCCAAGAGUCUGACCAAAAUGGGGGAAUUUAUGUUACCCUUAAGUUUUAGAUAGUAAACUCCUAAACUUUGAAUUUCCUUCCACCAAAAAGACCUAACAGAGCUUCUGGCUUAAGGUGGAGUUUGUGUAUUGGACUAGAAUUUGGACCAAGUUAAAGUCACCCAUGGUACAUGUGCAUAGUUAAAACAUUUGUCUAGAAAUUUCAUUAGUAAUGCUUCAUUGACUUUUGGUAUCAAUUAUGCCCCCUAGCUUCCCUGGGAUUUUUGUUUGCGGAUUGUUUCCAAUGCAGCAAGAUAUGAACCUCUUCUAUUAAUAUAAUCUUUGCUCCACAGACAGUGCUUUUUAAAAACAUCUAUUUGCUUAAUGACUUGACAAGGAAUUUUGAGGCUACACAUAUAAAAUGUUGGCAGUGCUGAAAAAUCUGAAUUGACUAAUGUUGGCAGUGCUGAAAAAUCUGAAUUGACUAGUGUAAAUCUUCCAUUAUAAGCCAAGAAUUUACUGAUCAUACCAGAAAGCCGUCUUUCAAUCCUUGACAGUAGGGGUGGUGUGAAUUCAAGCAGGGAGGGUUUGGUAGUCCCAAGAGGGAGACCCAGGUAAGUGAAUGGCAUGCUACCAACCUUACAUCCAAAGGUGUUGGCCAGGUGAGAGGCUCUGUUAUCAUCUAUGUUACUUGGCACCAAAAAGGAUUUGUUAAAGUUAACAUGAAGCCCACAGUAGAAUCUGAGAAGGAGAGGCCCUUGUUAAAAAGAACUCUUGCAUCCCCUUGUAAGAUGAGUAAUGUGUCAUCAGCAUACUGAAUAAUAGGGUAAUCUCCCUGAAAAUUAUCACUGAUAGAAGUUGAAAAACAACUUUGUGAAGCUAAUGCAAAAACGAUACAGGUUGCAACUAGCUUUUUUUUUCCUAGGGGGUGCUCCCAUCCUCACAGCUGCAGUGCAUCCAUUGCUUUCUCCUGCAGUAUAUGUAUAUCCACCCUCAUGCGCUGGUUUUAGGACGGGACAUGUAGAAGCAGAUUUAGGCUCCUUUUAGAGCACAGAACUUUUUUGGUUCCAUGAAAAUAAAUUGAUUUGUGUGAAAAUUCUGUAUGAUUACUGUGGAAUUCAUGUAUUCCAAAUGGGCCCUUAACUUUUCCGCGUCCUACAGAGUUGGUCAUAGAAAUCAGUUGAAGAAACCAUGGAAACUGAAAAAUCAUUGCCAAAGAAACCACACACACGCAGCAGAAGAUCGAUCGACAUUGCUUAACUAUAACUGAUACUUUCAUUAGCUUUAAUCCAACUGCCUGGCAAUCCAUGAUUACAUGAAGACAAGCCUUUCCAUUGCCAUGUCUGUUUCCUUUUUCAUUUCUUGCAAAGAUAAAAAAAAGAAGAAGAAGAGAAAACAAAGAUGGGAAAUAAAGGAUAACUGAUCGAUGACGAGAUACUAGAUGUAUAGUAAUAAUAAGAUAGGCUAAAGUUAAACGCCAGCAAUAAUCUUGCUGAUGUUAAACUACGACCACGCUGAGUGCCUGAGUCCCUUAAAAAGAUAGCUUUCCAAUCAGCUCACACGCACAUCGUCUUUGUUGUGGUUGCAGCAGCUCGAUCGGUGAGCUCAAGCGCGGUCCUUGCGGGUCUCCGCGUUCCCCAGGGUGAGCUCCAGGCCCUCCUCCUCGUCGGGGUUCUUCUCAGUCAUGAUCACCUCCUCCUCCCUCGCACCCGCCGCCGCCUGCUCCCCGCUGCUCCUGCGGAAAUAGAACCCGAGAGGGGACAAAAGCGCGCCACCGCGGCCGGACGCCACGAAGGCCGGUGCCUUGUUGGCCGCCAGCAGGGUCACCGGGUCGGGGACAGGCCGGCUCAUCAUCAGCGGCGUGGUGGUGGACCACGAAGGCGGCAGCACGUCGUUGUUGGGGUCCCUCGUCGGGCUCGGUGGUGGGGUGGCGGGUGGCGGGGAGGAGUAGCGCGCCUUCUUGCGGAGGCGCGGCGGGGACGAGGGCGGGGAGCCGUCCGGCGCCUUGGAGUUGGAGGAGCUCGCGAAGAAGUUGGGGUACGAGUUGUCGCUGAGCUGCUUGGACAGGUUCUUGAGCCACGCCGGAACGGGGUCGGCUCCGCCGCUGCCCCCGCCGCCGAGCGCGAUGCCGGAGGGUGACGACGGCCGGGUCAGACUGUUGGAAGCUCCGCCUGGUGGGUUCACCGGAGCAGACGACCCGCCAACGUCGGCCAUAUGCUGAUCAUCACCUGCCGGAGGCUUGGGUCCCUGAAGAAACACAAAUCGAAUUAGAGCCGAGAGGGCAUCAACGAACAACGAUAGACUAACGCAAAAAAUGUGCAAUCGAUCGACGACAGUUUUUCUUUCCCUGCACAUCCGUUAUUCCGUUUAUACUCGACAGUACGACUAACGAGGACUGAAGCAGCAGCUAGCAUCAGACCAAAGCAAGAGCCGUGGCUGCAGUGCACACAGUACACAGCCACGCAAGAGCAAGACAAGAGCAGGAAGCUCAUCCAGAUCCAAUCUUGUUGGAAAGGACGAGCAACUGAAAUUAAAACAAAACAAAUUUUGGACUUUUGCUACAAAACGAAGCGCGGCCGCGCAAAAGAUGGUCGAUCGGCUUGCAACUGUCGACGAUCGAUACUACACACGCAGCUCGAUCCGGAAAGCGAAGCAAUGCGCAGGACACGACGACAAAGAACGAGAACCAACGGAAACGAAACAACAAUGGAAACAUGGCGGCGGCGGCGAGCUCCAUCGGAACAGCUAGCGAGAAAGAGUGAUGAGUACCUUGCGGUAGGUGGUGCCGCCGUCCGCGACGAUCCUCGACACGAUCGCCCGGCGACGGCGCUCCCGGCGGCGGUUGUUCUCCGCCUUCUUCCCGUUGCCACUCCCGUUCCCGUUCUCGUCCCCUGCCCUAGCCCAUGCGUCGUCGCCACCCCCACUCCCUCCCGCUCCAACUCCCUUGGUCACCAUGCCUCUUCUCCACUCAGAGAGCUCACUCGCUCAACUUGUGAGUUUGUGAGGACGAAGCUGCUGCGGUGGUGGUGCAUCGAUCGGCUGCCAGUGCCACCUUUAUAGGCCGCCACUGGCAACUGACAGGACAGUGAUUUUCCCAUUAUGCCCAUGCUCAGGUACACAUGACGGCAAAGGACCCGGAGGGGCACCUUUGGUAAUUGCAUAAGGUACCUAUUCAGCAGUGGCAAUUUUUAGGGAAUGGUGUAUUAGCCUUAAUGACCUGCCAAGAAUGGAUGACAAGGAAUGUGGUCUCUAGUUAGAGUAAACAUAGAUUAUUGCUAGUUUAUUAGGAGAGCAUUCAUUAUGGUCUAAACUAUAUGAGGACGGCCGGUGGGGCCAAGUGAAACAAGAACUGGUGCUAAACAAGCCCUGAGCAUGGAAAGGGGCCACGUCUGGACCAGCCGAUCGUCAUAGAGCGGGUGCUGAUGCACCAGCACCACAUCUGGUCUUUUCCAUUGGGUUAUGUUGGGUUUAUUCCUUGUAGUUACUCCGGGUUCGUGCGGGUUUGGUUCGGUAAAAAAUCAUUAUAAUUUACGUGCACGAUUGGAUGUUUUUCCGACACAACGGUAGCAACGGAGACUCGAGGGACAAAAAUGUCACCACUUCUACUUUGACAUGGAGUUAUCGAACAUAAUUGCUUUUUAGUAUUCAACGAAAAUCUACAUUACUACCAACGGUUACAUGUAAUACAAAACACACACGAGCACGACGGUUUCAUGUACAUUCAUGGGAUAGAGAAUAAUGGCGGCACGUGUGUAUUAUAUUAUAUAAUGCGAAAAAGACGAUUGUUUCUAGAAUUAGAUGAUGUCAACCAUUUUUGGCAAGAGUCAGAUGGUUUACAAUGCAUUCUCAGCUCCUUGACUAUAGUUGUUCUUAUAGUUGUAAUGAAUUAUGCUUCAUCGUCAUAGAAAUGUUAAGGACCAUUUAUGUAAUCAUGAAGCUACCAUCGCACAUUCCCAACAAUGAACUACAACCAUCUAUGUCAUAUCAAAGACAUUUUAGAAAACAGCUCAAUUAUAUUACCAUUUCUACAACUCAAUAUGUUAAAAUAGCAUUGUACAUAUACAUCAGGGGCCUCUAUAAGUUACUACUAGAAUAGCUUGAUAAUUUUGGGAACAUUAUAAUUCUCAUCGACAAGGUAGCCACAGUUGCAAUAAUAUUAUUGUGAUACAUCAUGUAACAAAUUUUAACAUGAUUAUUGUGGAGCAACCAUGUGUGUGUGUGUGUGCAUGAUAAUACAACUGCAUGCAUAUAUGUGCAAUUAUAAUGACAACUCUUGUGAGAUGAACACUGAUACAACCAUGGAUCUACCACCAUCACAUGCCAAAUAAUGUGUGUAGGCACACGCAUGAUUGUAGAAAAAGAUAGUUUCCUCGAGUAGAUGUUGAUCUAUACCUUUUUUUGCCUUUUGUCUUUCCUUUUUUACAAUGUCUUGAAUGGUUUACAACACAAGCACCUGAAGAAUAUAUGUGGUUAUAGUUGUAAGGGAAUGAUCCUCAGGAUCAAAAUCUAAAUGAACAUUUGUGCAACCAUGAAUCUACCAUAAAAUGCACAGCAGAUGAGCUAGUAAAAGCAUCUAUGCCAUCUCAAGGAUUACUAACCUUUGUGCAAAUUGUUAAGUUGGCAAACCAUUGUAUCACAAUCCAAAAUAAGGUAUUACCAGCAUGUCUUGAAAAAACUGUAGACACAUCAUAAUUCUUGUUUACUAACAACAAAUGUAACAAUCUUUUUCCUUAGAGUGACCAAGCGAGGCUGACAUUCUAGAACCAAACACCACCCCUAAUGAAGUGUCCCUCACCAUUCACAAAGAGAGGUACAUCGUCAAAUUUCCACAUAGAGGGGAGGAGGGAUUUAAUUGAAGCAAAAAAUGUUAUCGCCUACAUCUCAACAACUUAUUAACUCGAUACAAAUGUUGACAUAUUUUAGUAAUGGAUCAUGAAGAUGAAAAUCACCGUUAUUUUUUAGACAAGCACCAUAAUUUCAAUGUGCAAAGCUAUAUCAAUCCUUUUGAACUUCUGACUGUUAGAUCAAUUUUUUGAACCCAAACGGCCAAACAAUUCGAUUACCCUUGGUUUCAGUCAAACUAAGUCGUCCCCUUUUCCUCUAGUGCAAGUGGUUCACUCUACCCAAAAAUCACAAGCCAAGUGUUUUUUUAACCAAAAACACACCCCAGUUAUUUUAGCGCACUAUUAUUUGCUUCCUCGGAUUUACUAGAGUAAAAUUAGUAGCAUUUAAUGUACUGCCAAAAUAUUUCUGCUUGCUUAAUUACUGUUUGCUGUACCUCUAGUGCAUUGUUUGGAAUUCUUUUGAUUCAAAGUAGAGUGCACAAUUAAACACUGCUAUAAAGAUACAUAAGAAAAGAGUACAAUUAAUAGUCUUUGCUUAACCAGGGGUGGUUCUAUUUGAGAAAUUGAGUGAUGGCGAUGCACUAUUUAAUAUGGAUUUAUUAAAUAAACAAAAAACAAAAAUGAAUAAAUAUAAAGAAAAUUUGAUGUCAUGGUAAAGAAAAUUAAAUAAGAGAGAUGAAACACCAUGGGCUCUUUUUGCAAGUCUGAAUGUGUCAUACAAUGAAAUGCAAUGAGACCAUUUGAAACACAAAAUUAAAACAAUGCAUUGUCAAAGUUGUUUCAAUCAUGAAAGCAAAUCCUAUUUACUGACGUGACAUACCUUACAACAAAAUAAAACUGUGCUUUGAGAUUUAGCAUGUCUUCAAUAUAAUUCAAAAGAGAGAGUGCAAUUAAACAUCACCAAAAUAAAAAGGAAGUACAAUAUGAGUCACUCGCGAGACGGUUACAAAUUUUACCAAGGGCACUGAAGUACGUAUAUACUAAAUUCAAAUAUAUAUAUAUAUAUAUAGGAAUUUUAUUUCACACAACAAAAGACAAAAAUAAUGGUUUUUUUCCAAAAAAAAAGCUAAUAUAUAUAUGAUCUGGAUGUGUAUAUGUAGACCAAAUAUAUGCAUCGUGUAAUACUAAAGCAUAAGUUAUUGUCAAAUAUUUCCAUUUGAUUAUUAUUACUGCUACUACUAAGUUACUGCAAUUUUAGCAUGGUUUCAAGCAUGUUCGCUGCUGAUUUGUUGCGAGAGAAAACACUACUGAACAGGCUCAAUAUAUGACCAUGUUUGCUUGAACUUAUCUGCUGAAUCUGUCAGCCAUACAACAGUAUUUUUCUCUCACAACAAAUCAGUGAAUAGUACUUCCAGUCAUGGCUUUAUAGUAUACCAGAGAGAGUGCGAUUAAGGCCCGCUAAAGACAGGGAAAGUACAAUUAAUAGGAUUGCUUAGCCUAGGAGGCGCUUUUAGUUCUAUAUGUGUACAUGUGAAAAUUGAGUGAACUAGCACACUCCGGUGCUGAUGAUGAUAACCACAGAAAAAAUUCUUCAAAUUAUAAGACGAACACGCUCUGCUUCGCUCCGGCCCAAGCCUCUGGCGACGGGCCUCCGCUUCGCUCCGUCAGAAGCGGCCUUUAUAAUGUGCAACUUAAUUUAGAAACAUAUUUAACAAAUUUCCUGUAUUUUACGACAAAUACCGGCAGGAAAAUAAUGUACCCGACAGAAAAACACAUACAUUUCCUGUGUGUUUUUUAUUUUCCUGUCGGUAACGUGUACACCGACAGGUAAUUAGACAUUUUUUUGUCGGAUUACUAAUUUUUUUUAUCGGUUGUAUAAACCCGACACGAUAAUUGUAGUUUUUCUGUCGGUCUUGUUUAUACCGACAGGAAAUUUUUAGUUUCCAGUAGUGAGAGAUAGUAGACAGGUAAUCGUGGCAUGUGCCGAUGUGUGCUUGUGGCUUUUUUUUAAAACGAAUCAUGCAGAUCUGCUGAUUAUACUAAAAAGCCGAUAAGUUUAAAAUGAGAAAUAAAAAAACAAUACAACUACGGUUGGUUGGAGGUCCACUUGUGUGACCUACUAUGACAUUUUGGAUGGUCAUGUUGUUCGUGCCAGCAGCCAGCUAUAUAUCAUGGUGCAUGACACAGCUCUCGCUCGGCAGAGAGCCAUCGGCGGCCUGGUCCACCCGCUGCGUACAUAUAGAUUUCCAUAUGGCCCGUGGCCUGUUCGCAUGGCCCAUGGCCCGAGGUUUUGGCCCGGCAUGGGCACGGCCUGGCCCGGUGAUCGACGAGCCCGUGCCGACAUGGCCCGAGGCACCAGGACGUGCCUAGGCCACGACCUCAGCCCAUGGCACGGCACGAGCACAGCCCGGUGAAAGGGGCGGCCCGGUAGGAGGCCCAAUGCAUAUAUAUGUUGUCGGUGCCCACCCCCAAACCCUAAAAUCAUUCCCCCCUACCCAGUCGCCUCUCUCGAUCUCGUCUCUCACUCUCUCGCCCAAACCCUAGAGUCUUCUCGUCUUCUCGAUCCACCGCUCGUUGACCCGCCGCUCGCCUCGGAGGCUCGGAUGCCGACCGUCCGUCCAUCCCUUGCUCCGGUGACCUUGUCGCAGCUCCACCUUGCCGCCUAACGGCCUGAGACCCUGAGUUCCCUAACCCUCUCCUCCCUCCUUUCCCCCCUCCACUCUCUCUUUCCUCAUCUGGUGAAGCAUGUGAGCUCGUGUCCAUCUUCCUCGCUCCACCGCCGCUCGCCGUCAUCUCUAAUGGAUGUUUGUCUGUCUUGUGUCUCAUCUUGACUCGUGGGCCGCUUCUACUCUGGCACCGGGCUUCGGUAACACAGGUACGUAACCCUAGAUGACUAGAUCUACUCCGUCUCUCACUCUCUCAGUCUCUGUUCUCAACUCCUCAUCUUUUUCUUUCAAUGUUUGUAGGUUCGUGCCUGACACCACAUCCUCCUCUAGAGUGGACAUGGCCAGGUUGGCAAAGCGCCCAUUGAGGGGCGGUGCAGGAGGUCUGGUGGCUCUAGGUCAUCCUCAGCCAUCCACGUCCAGUGGUGCUGGUGCUAGGCUCACAACACAGGGGGCGGAUCUGCAUCCCCCUCGGCGAUGGCGAGGUCCUUGUGCCGCACCCGAACGAGCUCGAGGACUUGGAACUGGAACGCAGGAUGGUGACGACUUGCAUGAUGACACGAGAGGGUUGUUCGGCAUCGACCUCGGUGACCAACCUGUUGGCACCCAACAGCAGCCCAUCGACCUCGAUGGCGAUGACAUGGAUGGUGGAGUGGCUACCUCCACUAAUACUCGUGGUACCUCAACCACUGUCACUGGUAAGCUAGUUUCUAUUGUUUGGCAGUACUUCGAUGAGAUCAAUGAUGAGACCGGGUUGAGAACCGGUGCCAUAUGCAAACAUUAUCGUUCAUGUUAUACUGCUAGAUCCUCUGGUGGCACUGGGCAUUUGAGGCGGCACAUGAAAAGCUAUAUGGAAAAACAAAAACAUGCAACUAUGGUUCAGUCUAAACUUGCUCUUAAUCCUGAUGGCUUGAAAAAUUGGGUGUAUGAUCCUGUUGUUGCUCGCAGUUAGUUAUGCAGGCUGGUAGCUAAGCUAGACCUUCCCUUAGGCAUUGGUGAUACACAGGCCUAGGAAGAUUACAUUAAAAGUGCUCAUAACUCUUUGUUUGGUAAGGUUUCUUGGCAGACCACUACUGGAGAUCUUGGUAGGUUGUUUGUUGAUGAACAUUCUAUGCUUAUGAAGUCUAUGUUGCCUGCUUGUUCAUCUGUGUCUUUGACAUCUGAUAUUUGGUCUGGUAAUGCUAAAAAGAUUACAUAUCUAUUGUUGCUCAUUAUGUUAGUGUUGAUUGGAAGUUGUAGAAGAAGGUUGUUGGUUUUAGGUUGAUUGAAGUGUCACAUUCUGGUGAAAACAUAGCUGCUAAAAUUGCUUCUAUGGUUGAGGAGUUUAAUUUGAUUGAUAAGAUCUUUGCUAUAACUCCAGAUAAUUCUUUUGCUAAUACUAGGGCUUUCGAAAAUUUGCAACCUUGCUUAUUUGGUUACAUGGGUUCUUAUCCUGCACCUACACGUAAUGAUCCUCAAAAAGUUAAAUAUUUGCUUGUGCAUCAGCGUUGUGCUUGUCAUAUCUUUAAUCUGAUUGUUAAAUCUAGGUUGAAGAGGAUUCAUCCUUAUCUUGAAGCAUUUAGAACUGCAAUAAACUUUUCGAAAUCCUCUAAUCAAAGAAUUACAUUGUUCAAAAACUAUUAUAUUUCUAAGGGCCUAAGACCUAGAAAGUUUGCCUUGGAUAUAGAAGUUAGGUGGAAUUCCACAUAUUUAAUGCUUAAACAUUUGCUGCCAUAUAAGGAUGUCUUUUCUGUGUGGAUUACCACUAAUUAUGGUUUAGAAUUGUUGACUAACGACCAUUGGUUGGUUGUUGAAAAUAUGAUGAAUUCCUAGAAGUGUUUUAUGAAGCUACUGUUGUUCUAUCUGGUGUUUAUUAUCCAACUGCUCCACUUGUUUUGCUAAAAAUGAUACAAAUUUUAGAACUAUUGUAACCCCUAUGAAGCUUAAAUUUCUAAAAUAUUGGGAGACAAUUCCAAUGAUAUAUUCAUAUGCAUUCAUUCUCCUAGAGUCUUUUGUAAUGUGCUUGAAUUACUUGCUCAAAAUACUGGAGUCUACUAUACUUUGUACUAUGGUGAUGUUAAAGAUGAGAUGUCCAGAUUGUUUAGCAAGUAUGAGGACAAAUUUGGUGGUGCAACUAGGACUCAAAGGGUUUCAAUGCCCUCAGCUGGUUCUGGUAAGAAAAGCAGGCAUGGGGUAGGAUCUAUGGAGGUCCUGGUGCAUCCCCUAGCUUUUCCCCCUCAUGUUCAUCUACUCCAUCUGCUGCUAGUGAGCUCCAAGAUUACUUGCACAACAGUGACCCUGUCACUGAUUGGGAUGAGUCUUUUGACAUACUGCUAUGGUGGUGUGACCAUAAGCUAAUCUAUCUAAUUCUGUCUAUUAUGGCUCGCGAUAUUAUGUUUGUUCUUAUUUCUACUGUCUCUUUCGAGUCUUGUUUCAACUGUACAUCUAGGAUACUAGAAGACCAACGGCGGCGAUUGUUUUCUGAGCAUGUGGAGAUGCUCACCUGCAUUAAGGACUGGGAGCAAGGAGCAGCAAGAGAACAACACCAAGCUGAGGACUUUGACCUGGAGGAGAAGUUCAAGAACCUCUACCUGGAUGAAGAAGGCGAAGGCAGUGGCACCGGCACCGGCAGCGGCGCUACCACUGCUGGUACUUGAUGGGAGAAGAAGACAAUAAGUCACCAAUUAGAGAGGUAAUGUAAGGCUUAUAUAAUUCUUAUUUAGAUUGUUGCAAAAGAACUCAAACUGUCAAACAUAUGUAUCCUUACAUUCUAUAUAAUUUUGCAGGCAGUCUUGGUCUUUUGUUGAAGGCAACGGCUGUUCUGCUGGUGACUCUGGUGGAGGUGGUGAUUUUGUUCUGUGAAGGCAGCGACAAUGGCACUUUUGGUGAAGUCAUUUAGUCCCUAGGAGAAGUAGGAGUGUGAACUGUGAAACUAUUCUUGUAACUUCUGUGAAAUUUGCCACUCUAGUUGGCUUUUGUAAUGACACUAAAACUAAGAGUCGACUACACAAUUUUUCUCUUUCUAGGGUUUUUUAAGGGUGAGUUUUACCUAGAAAGGUUUUUUGUCACACCCCAAAAAUUUUAAUUUUGGGUUGUGCAUAGAAAACACUAACUAAAAUAAAUAUUUUGAUGCUUGGAUAAAAAAAAUUAACGUUAGUUUAAAAUAGUGUCAAUUAGUUAUGUGAAAUAUAUCAUUCACUAAAUUUUCUAAAUUUAAUUUGAUGGGUUUCUGCUUGAUGUGAUGUGAUGUGAUGUUUGUUUGUUGUUUGACUUUGCGUUGUAAGUGGCUACAGUUUUAGAGUGUGCUUAAUAAGUCAUUAAUGUGUAUCCAGCGUGUUUCUAGUUUUUUUUUAUAAUCAAGUCUUCUCUUUCUUGAUUUUAAUCUUCUUAUUCAGAGUUUUCUAUAUCCUCUUAUUCUACUUUAAAUUAUUCCUUUGAGCUCAUAUUCCAUCAACCGACCUAUUAAGACUUAUCAGGAAUUAUUUCAGCAUUUUUCCUGGAAUUUAAUUCCACUUGGAUCUGAGCAUAAUCUAAUUUUUAGAUACUCCUAGAUAUCUUUUUAUGAGCUCUAAAUACUUUAUUUGGGUUCCUCAUGAUCUAAAAUAUCUCUAAGAAUUUUCUCAUAAUUUUCGGAGCCUUCUGAGUAUUUUUCGGGCCUUAAAUAUCAAUUCUGAACUUUCUGGAAUUAUUUUUAUUCACGAAAUUAAUUAAAUCCGAAAAUAAUAAAAUACCUCGUUUUUCCAUCAACCCAAAACCCUAACACUAUAUAUAUGCCGGUGUUCUCCUCGACGCCCUCUUUCUAGAAGUACCCCGUUUCACGAGCCGCCGCUCCUAUCAUCCUAGAUCUAAAGCCGAAGUUUCAAAACCUUAAACUCCGACGAACUCUCCGGCGAGCUUUUCUGGCCAAAUCGUCGCGUUCCGGCAUCAACCACCACGACCAGAGGUAGCCCUCGUCGUUCUCUACGCCGUGGUGUACUUGUUUUCUCAAUUCCGUAUCCGUUUGUCGAUUUCCUAACUUGUCCUCUCUUUUCCGGUGAGGUCAUCCAUAGACGCAAACUUCUCCUUCGUUUUCGCUUACCGUGAUCCUGUGUGCUAUCACCAUCACCGGCGACCCUGCGCUUGCAGCUGGAGCUGCGCAACCGCCCCGAGCCCUCGGCCCCGCGCCUAGCAGUUUCUUGGCGCGAGCAGGAUGUCCACCGCUGCAGCUGCUGUGCGCCCUUCGGCUGGCAGCCAUGCAGGCCCAACCAGCCCCGCGAAGGACCCCGUGGGCAGCCCCAGAGCGCCGCCGUGCAGCUGUUGCGCCAUAGGCUGGCCAAGGCUGAGCCCCCUUCCCAACCAACGUGCAAGCAGCAGCAGCACCUCCAUGAAUCACGUUCGUGAAGGUGAGGAUCAAAGGUAGAAGAUUAUCAUAUUUAUGGUUUUGCCACUGCUCGUUUAAUCUCCGCCGUUCAUUCAUUUUACGUCCGAUCCAAGUGGUUCCAGUUGUGUUGUUUUAGUAUCGUUGUGCUCUACGCAGUAGUACAAAUAUUUAUCAUGUAACUCAAUUAUAAAUUUAUUGAUUUGAAAGAAACUCGAUUAAUAUUUAUGUAGUAAGCUUUAUAAUUAAAACCAAUCUAGCGUUAUAAUUCUUUCGUGUAUGCUGCUUUACGAUUAUGCCGACAUAAGCGAUAUGUUAGCAACAUUAUUUUCUAUGUCCUAUGUUUGUUAAUAUAAUUAAUUUGAUUAAUGUGUAGUUAAGCUAGUUUUUUUUGAUUAAAAAUUAACAUAGGUCAUGCACUUUCGGUUUUACAUAUGCAAAUAAAUAAAUGUUAAUAUAUUAACUACCUAUAUAAAUAUAUUUCUGAACUUGCAAUUUGCUUAGCCUAAACCAUGUCACAUAAAAUAUGUUUAGACGUUCUCACAUGUCUUUUUCUUUUACCGAGUUAAAGUUUAAAUUAAUUAAAUUAAUUGUCAAUAUUUAUAAAUAUAUAGUUUAAUUUGGCUGCUAAAUUGAAUAUAAGUUGACUAAUCUAAAUUAGAACUUUUCACUCUGUUUUCCACAAUUAGAAUAAAUAAGCACGCAGUUCUUUUCUUUUUGUUGCAAUAUAAUCCCGGUAGUCGUUUCUUUAUAUUGAUAGUUCCUUUAUCAGUGUUUAUUGUGCUCUCGUGACUGUAGUAACUAGUUAUUUUUUAGUACGGGUGUAUUGUUCUUAGUUUCUUUUAUUUAUUGCUUGUAUGUUUGCCAAUGUUUGGUUGCUGCGAUCUAUGAGUAGACGAGAACCGGUUGUGAGUGCUGAAGAUUAGAAGGUGAUGACUGAAAGCUGAUGAUACGAGAAUCGAGGAAGUGUUUAAGGCAAGUAUAACUUGGGAUCAUCCUUGUUACCUAUUCACUUAUAACUACACAUAUAUAUCAUAUGCAUGCUAUCACCUUGUCGACCUUAGCAAAAUCAUAGAUGAUUGUUACCUGUAUUCCUUGCUACCUACUUGAUAUGCAUUUGGUGUAGAUGUGCUAGUGCUUGAUAUAAUCCAUGAUCUUGUAAGAUGAUUAAUAGCUAUGCAAUGAACAUAAAAGAAUGACAAAUAACUGUAUGAGAUCUUGUCUGUAAGUGAUCACCGGGACAACAGUGCAGCCAUGAGGGCUAUAAUGGCUCUGGCUUUAGCUCAGUAUGAAGCCCUUUUCUAGGUUGUUAGAGGUUACCCGAAAGGGCGGAGGGGCUGAACCGUUUUGGGUAUAGUGUGGCCUCUGUCUGUAUGUGUAUAGGCUGCGAGUCAUUGUGCCAUCGGAAGGGGGGCUCUAUAUCUGCGCGCAAAGGAAACCUUGCGGCCCUAACAUGUUAGACGGGCCCUAACAUGUUAGACGAACUUUUGAAAGGCUUCAUAGUGAUCCCUGCCGACCUCCCUAGGAAGGGGGUUAAGAGAUUAGCUACCUCGGGCGAAAGGGUAAAUCAUGACUCAUGGGUAAAGAUGUACAACCUCUGCAGAGUGUAAAACUGGUAUACUAGCCGUGCUUGCGGUUAUGAGCGGCCUUGGGGGUUCUUGCUGCGCCGACGAUGAGCUUAUUAAGUUGUUAUGUUCAUUUGAUUAUCGUUUAUGCUAUGGAUUAAUUAUGCUUACACUUGAUCAUGGGAUUAAUGGAUUAUUUAUGCUUCCUUCACAUUUGCUACCUAAUUAUGAACAUGCUAUCCACUAUUAAAAGCUAAAUGCAGUCAAACCAGUGUCAGCUAUUUGAGCCUAAUGAACCCCUGGUUAUACUUGUUGAGUACGACAUGUGCUCACUCUUACUAUUUCCCACCACUCCAGUCCACUAGAAAGAGUUGAUUAGAAGGAUGGAGUCAUGAAGGAUGUUCUCAGGAUACAAGAAGUGCUAGGCAUAUGUUAGCCCCAGUCAACCGUCCCUGUGAAGAUUGAGCCUGAAGAUUAGUUACCGUUCCGCGACACUCUGAUGUAAGUGUUAAUUAUAAGUAUAUUUCCGUUAUAUAACAUUGUUUCUGAUAUAUUUCAUUCUGUUGUUAUAUGUGUGGACUUCCUGGGCACACAUAUAUAGCUAGCCUGGUUUUGCUCGGGUGUGACAUUUUUAAUGAGGCAACAUUGCACAAAAUAGCUCAAUUUAAGUAUUAUCCUUUUGUCAUAUUAUUUUAUCUGUGCUGUGAAUCUGACCAUGAGUUGGAGUUGGAGAGUUAGUUUCUAGAAUCUGUGAAUAUGUGAAUGGGAAUGGUUGAGUUCGACACUUUGUUUGUCAAUCUAUGAUUCUUUGAUUUUAUGAUGAAAAAGUUUAAUAUCUGUGGACAACACUUCGAAAAUAUGGUGGCAAUGAAGGUUUGUGGUGCUCAAGCUGUGGGCCGGCAUGGCCCAGUGAAAAUUGUCAUGAUUUGGUUGUGUACAUAUUCUACGAUUUUUCGAGAUUUUUAGUGUCCUACAAAUACAUGAAAAAUUCACCAUGGUUAACUUUGUUUAUUUAUAAAGAGAGGCAAAAUAAUCAUUUUCAGUACAAAGCACUAUUUUACUGUGUGGUUCUCAUCGUAUAGACUCUAGACGAUUUUAUGGUAUAAUUUUUAGGUACUUAUAUAAUUUUAUAUCUAUUUUAUAAAAGUAUUUUGUUAGACAUGGUGUCCACCAACCAAUUUAUCAAGAACUAGAAUGUCUUUCAAAAAUCGCUCAAAAAUAGGUGUCCACCGGCAAAGAGCCAUCACUUGGCAUGUCUAACAACAAAUUUUGCCUAAACUUUAACACCUCCAACCAAACACCUCCAAAACAUAUAUGAUGGCUAAUUUUGGAGAGCUGCAUUCAUAUGGUAUAAUCUAUAUGGGGCCGGUUGGUGGGGCCCAGUGAAUGUGCUUCUAUCUCAUGACGAGAUUAACAAUAUCGCUAAAUGGACUGAAACAAACUUUCACUUAAUUCACGUCACCUAGGAGUACCAUCACGUAUGCCCAAAAUGAUUUCCGAGCCUAUGGUACGUUCGGCAAAAACCAUGUACCUAUCUCACGUUGAGAUUAACUAGUGCCAAACUCGCUACGAGCAUGAGAGGGGACAGGUCAAUCCGAACCGGCUUAUCGUCAUGGAGUGGCUGCUGAUACAUCACAUUUGGCCUUUUUCAUUGGGCUCUCUUUGGGUUUAGUCCUUGCCACGGUUAUGCAACUAUGGAGUAUGUAAACCCUAGACAAAUGCGGCAGCGGGCGCGCAACCAUGAAGUAUUGGUUUAGUUAAUUCAGAUACGUGAGGGUUUAGUAUAGAAAAAGAUCAUUAUAUUUUACGUACGUGGUUGGAUGUUUCGCAUGCAAUAGCAUCGCCCUACUUGCCAAAACGGCAGUAGUAGUAGAGACUCAAGGGGCAAAAGUAUCAUCGCUUCUACUUCCAUGUGGAGUUAUUGAGAAUAGUUGCUUUUUAGUAUUGAACGAAGAUCUACAUUACUAUGCAUGUUUAUAUGUAAUACAAAACAUACACAAGCAUGAUGGUUUCAUGUACAUUCAUGCGACAUGUGUUCACGCAUGUGCAUGAUAAUGUGAAAAGAUUGUUUCUAGAAUUACAUGCUGAUGUCAACCGUUUUUGCAAAAAAUAGAUGGAUAACAACAGAACCUCCUUGACUACAGUUGCUUGUUAUCAUUGUAAUUAAUUAUCCUUGGUCAUCAUAAAAAUGUUAAUGAGCAUUUAUGCAACCAUGAAGUUACCAUCAUACAUUUACAAUAGUGAGCUACAAAUCAAAGACAUUUUACAAAACAACUCAUUUAUUACCAUUUCUACAAAUUGAUAUUGAAAAAACAUUGUAUAUAUACAUUACCAACUAUUAUAAGUUAUUAGCAUAGCUUCAUGACUUUGGGAACAUCAUAAUCCUCAUUGAUAGGGUAGCCACAGUUGUAACAAUAUUACUAUGAUGCAUGAUGUAACAAAGUUUUAACAUGGCGGUGGAGCAACCAUGUGUGUGCAUGAUAUACACCUACAACCAUAAGUUACAACAACAACCCUUGUGAGAUGACCAAUUGAUACAACCUUGGAUCCAACGGCAGAGGGUGAGGUGAAAUUAAGCUGGGCCAAUUUAGUGUUACAUAAACACAAGUGCAAAGUGGUUACUAACUAAAGCUUCACAUAAUUGUGAAUUCAAGUGUAAUAGAGUGUAAAGACUAAAGAAAAGAACAGGAGGCCAAUUUGAAGAGACAGAAGUUGGUGUGUUUCUUGAAAGAAAAUAGUUUAUGCAUGAUGUCAUCUAGAUGUCAAGAAGUGAGUAGAAGAACUUCACAAACAAAAGGGGGGAGGACCCCAAUUUUGCCUCUAGGAGGCUUUGUCCCCGCAUGGAACUACCACCAUCACAUGCCAAAAAUGUAUGCAAGAUUGUUCAAAAAAAAGAUAGUAUCUUCGAAUACACGUUGAUGUACACCAUUUUUCCUUUUUUCAUUUUUUUGAAAAAACUUGUAUGGUUUACAAGACAAGCUCCUUGAUCAUAUAUGUGGUUAUAGUUGGGAAUGAUCCUUAUUGGGAUGAAAAUCUAAAACGAACAUUUCUGCAACCAUGAAUCUACCAUCACAAAUGCACAACAAUGAGCUACCACAAGCAUCUAAGCCAUCUCAUGGAUAUUUUACGUAACAGUUUAGUUACUAACCUUUGUGCAAGUUGGUAAGUUGACAAACCACUAUAUCAUAAUCGGAUAGCUUGAAAAUUAUAGAUACAUCAUAAUUCUUGUUUACUAACAACAGAUGAUGUAAACAAUCUUUUUUCCUUGGAGUGACCGAGUGAGGCUGACAUUCUUGAACCAAACACCACCCCUAGAUGAAGUGCCUCCUUUCCAUUUGCAAAUAGAGGUAGAUCAUCAAAUUUCCCCCACAGAGGAGUAGUUUUAUUCAAACCUACCCAAAGAUCUAAGAAAAGAAUUGUUCUAGCGCACAUCUAUCAACAACUUAAUUGGCCCGAUACAACUUCAGUUGAAGUUAUACAGAUGAAGCAAAAGGACAGUCAAAUAAUUGGGUCUAAUCUAGUUCCUAUGUUUUAGUACAAAUGAGCGUUGUGGGGAGAAGUGUGGUUAAAACAACCAUAGUAAAACAUAUCAUUUGACUAAGAAGCUUAUAAGCUAUACGAAACAGAACACAUGAGCCUACAUAUAUCUCGAGACUCACUAAUAAAUAAAUAUUUCAAUCACUAAAUUAUUAAUAAUAUAGUUUUGAUAUAGAAUAAAACUUAUUAUUAUUGGGACUGCUUAGAUCAGUCAAUGGUCCAACUAAUCAAACCGUGAACUGAAACCUUAAGCAUUUUGUUAUCCAAUCCAAUCAAAAUAAAUCUAUCUGGAAGUUGUUAUAUACCAGUGUAAUCCCGGGGCUACCAUGUUGAAAUUAAGAGGAGUCUCUAUCAUAAUCAUCAAAUAUAGACAAAUACUUUACACAACGACAACUAACUCCUUACCGAUUUUAAUUAUUCAAUAUUAGAAUUACAUAUGUUUAUUGGUCUUCAUAAGAAAUCACGGAACUUGUGAUAUCUAGUAAGUACCAUUCCUACUUAUUUUUCAUUAACAUUUGAUUUGAUAGCUUUUUUUCUCCCGUUACAACACGGGCAUGUUUGCUAGUGUAGGAAAAACGGAGGAAAUUUUGGAGCGUAUCAUGGGGCAACUAUCGCUCCUGCAGUACACACCACCAGGAAAAGGCAUAGCCCUGUCUUUGGAACAAUGCAUAAGAUUUGAAGCAAAUAUUAAGAAAAUGCAAAUAAAUUUGAGAAGCAAAGACUAUGUCUGUGCCAAGAUUUAGAAAAACCUGUAUCGAUUUCAUGCUAAUUACUGCCCACUCCUCCCUCCUCCCUGAGGGCACUCACAAUGCAGACUCUAUCAUAGAGUCUAAAGUUAUUUAUUACCUCGAACAAUGUAGACUUGGAGUCUAAAUAAGACUUGGAGUCUUAUUUUUUCUACCUCUUUCUUCAAUAAAUAUAUUGUCACAUCAGCAAAAUAUCAUAAAUAAUAUGUAAUUAAGUGUCUUGGACUCUGUGAUAGAGUCUUGCAUUGUGAGUGCCCUGAGAAGAACAUAUAUAAUUGUCUAGUACAGUACUAAUAAGUUCAACAAUUUUAUAUUGAGACAAUUCUCCACGUGUCAUUGAAAGAGAUGGUUGAUCCCAAUGAUAAGUUUAUUGCGACUCCUAUACCAGCUUAUAAAUUUUUCUUCACUAUGAUGCCAUUUUCAUCAAAUGGGUGCUAACUCAUUAAUUGACACUCUUAGUGACCGAGUUGCACAUAGGGAAUUUUUGAGAAAAAAGAAUAAAUGCUACAUCUAUGAAUUGUUAUUGAAUAUUUUGGAUUCUAAACAAUAUUAAACAAAAAAUUAACUACAAAGUUUCAUAUAUCACCAAUAAUUACGACUUUGAUAUUGAGUGUGUCUCCAUCCGAGAUCACUUGAAAAACUCAAAAAGUUAAUUUUUAGAAUAUAGGAACUUAAUUUAUGUAAGACUCCUAACUGAUCUCGAAUGAAAAAUCAUGAACCGUAAAGUUUUAGAUCUCAUUGAUCUCUACAAUUUUCAUAUAUACAUUUAAAAAUAUUAUGAAUUUAUUUGUUAUAUAUCUACGUUGCUAAUGGUGCCACUACCUUCUAUACCAUAUUUUAAAUCACCCCUUAGUGUCACUUUUCCGUUGGGAGUUAACAAUAACAUGGUAGAAGUGGCAUGAAGGGGAAGAAAAAAAAAAGUAAAAAGCUAGUAUGGGAGUUCCAAUAAUUAGCUGCCAUAAAUCACCAUCACUAAGUUCAGGCAAGUAUGACAAGCCACAAAAAGUGUGGCAAAGAAUUUUGGAGUCCACUUUACCAUGCUUAAAGGAAUCUUGCCACACUUUUAUACUUUACUAGGUUCGGGUCAUGCGGUUGCUAUAGAACAGCUAAACUUUUAUACUAAAAAUAUACGGAUCAUAGAUAAGAUAACAAUACUAUGAAACUAAAUAGUGACGUUAAAGUGGCAUUUAAUCUAAAAGGCAAAGUUCAUGAAAUUAACAGUCAUGGAGAAGGCGGCGUUGCAGGCGCACAAACUCUCUAUGGAUAGACAUUUUCAUGAUACGGCUAAGAUAAAUGUUUUGUAUCGACAAGAAGAAAUCUUUGAUGUCCAUUUUUUCAUGUGCCAACAAAUCCACGAAUAAGUUCUGCCGUAUCUCUAUACCAUAUUGUACAUAGGUUCGAGUAUAUAUAUAAAUAUUAGUGCGUGUCGCUUGGGCAAUACUACAUGUUAUAAAAAUCUCUCGUAAAACCGUAAAGCAAAGUAUGUUAUACUCACCAUAUAAAUAUGUGUGGUUUUAGUUCUAUUCCACAAAGACAUAUACUUUAAAAUAAGGUAUCCACUUGAGUAUCUGUGGCAAGAUUCAUCAUCAGCAAAUAUAGAAAAGUUAAUUAUAGGUAUUAUUAUUGCAAGUGAUGGUAAUUCUGAGCUAAUUACCCAUCUAGGACAUUUGCAAUAUUUUUCACCGAUGAAUUUCCAUUAAGAUAUCCUCAUUCCAUCCAGGAACAUGUACCUUCACUGCAGCCAUAUACUGCAAGUUAAAUCCAAGAAUUUUCAUGGUAUACAUGUCUUACACCCCUUUUCAAUAGGUCUAGAGUCAAUCAUGAGUCAAUCAUGAUAACCAUCUUCUGCACGUGUGACAUGCAUGUGUUCGUUAUUGUUGACGAUAUCAUGCUGUUAAUGUGACUUAUGUUUUUCUUAAAAAGUAUUAUAUAUUUAUUUUAUAGCCUGUAUGCAAUCAAUAAGAAAACAGAUUAAAUUAACUAACAAAGUGUUUGGUUCAGCUAAUUACUGCUGAGACUGGAUAACAAUACAGCUGCUUGUUUUGACCCUUCCUGUUAUGAGAUAUUGUGUAAUCAAAUAGCACUCAAAAUACCUAAAUGUCGUUUUACUACUUGAAAAAAAAAGAAAAUUAUAUCCUGAGUCUUUUUCUAGACAGAAGCAGUCGUACUAAACACAUGAUGUCCAUUAGACCGUGCAUUAUCAGAUGACAUCUAAAUAAAUGUCCGAUAUUGACAUUAUAACGACGAUGAAAAGGGGUGUGUGAUUAUCUCGGCGCUUAUGCGAUUAUGGUUAGUUAAUAUGUGCAACAGAUCUGCCACAGCAACAACACGUGUUGAGGGUGGUCAAAAUCCUGACAUGGCAGGACCCACCUAAAUAUUGCUAGUGUAACAUGCGUAAUUCACUUGAGGAAUAACUUUUCAUCUUUGCCAUGGUGCCAAGGAAUGAGUUGUUGACACGAGACCUAUGUGUUACAAAUCAACUUUACUAGUGGGAAGUACUCAAUAAAGCAGUUUCAUCAGUGAAGCUAAAGCUAUUAAAAAUAUUUAGUAAUACAACUUCUAAGGGAAAAUAUAAGAGAGAAAACUAUGAAAAACUAGUGUUUUAGCUUUAUCCAUCUUCACAUAGAGAACCGUGUUUGUGAGGGAAGCUAAAAAAACAGCUUUCACCUAACGCCUUGUUUAGUUCCAAGUUUUUUUAAGAUUCUCUGUUACAUCGAAUCUUUGAAAGCAUGCAUGGAGUAUUAAAUAUAGAUGAAAAUAAAAACUAAUUGCACAGUUUGUCUGUAAUUGUGAGAAUAAUCUUUUGAGCCUAGUUAGUCUUUAAUUAAACAAUAGUUAUCAAAUAUAAACGAAAGUGCUACAGUAGCUAAAACCAAAAAAAUUCGUGAACUAAACAAGGUAACUUCAUUUUUUUACCACGGGAAUCUCCUACCUAUUUUUUUUCCUUUUCCAUUAAUUGAAAGAAUGAUAUGUACACGGUGCAAAGCAAAAAAAACAAACUAAAGUACAAGGCAAACAGACCCUUUAGAAAAAUCGGCUUCCAUAUAAUUAUCUCUUCAUAAAGUAAUGGAUGGUUGCCACUGGUUUGGCUUUGGCACACAGCAAACCAAGCUCUUGCUCGAAAUGUCUCUUCCACAUAUUAAUAUAUCGACCUCGCCAUUAUCAAAGAUGACACCAUUCCUUGUCGUCCAAAUCACCUAGCAGCCUGUGAUGAGUAUUUCUCUGAGUAUCACAUUAUCAAAGUCUGGCCCUUGCUUGGAUUGAAGUUCAGGUUCCAAUUUAUUGGUAUAGUUAGUCAACAAUCUCGACUGAAUGAACAUUCAAAGAAGAGAUGGAAAAACUUGUUUCUUCAUAGCUUGAGUCGCAAAGAACACAACUGUAGUCAUCCAGUUCCAUAUUUUUUUUCUUCUCACAAGAGAUUCCUUGUAUUCAGUCUAUCCCUGAGGAGUAAUCAAAAGAAAAUUUUAGGUUUUCCUAGGUUACUUGAGGCCCAAAGCCAUUUGAAUAAAGGAGAAGCUGCAGUGAAACCAAUCAGGAUGCUAUAAGCCUUCUUGCUACUGAAAUUGGAUGAUCCUUAUGAGUAACUCCAGCUGUCAUUCCCAGUAUCAGCCCAAUCUUUAUCUUGUAAUAGACUAUCAACCUCCUGUAACUGGCAAGCUAAAAAUGCUAUCCACUUCUUGAUCUAGGAGGUAUCUUAUUGAGCACUUGGGUUUCUUAGGCCUUGUUUACUUCUAUCCAAAAUCCAAAAUUUUUUUAAGAUUUCCCGUCACAUCGAAUCUUUAGACGCAUGCAUGGAGUAUUAAAUAUAAAUGAAAAUAAAAACUAAUUGCAUAGUUUGGUCGAAAUUUACGAGACAAAUCUUUUGAGCCUAGUUAGUCCCUGAUUGGAUAAUAAUUACCACUAACAAACGAAAGUGCUACGGUGUCGCGAAAACAUUUCGGCAAGGAACUAAACAAGGCCUUAGUGAAAGAGAACAAAUGGGGGAAUUUGUCUUUGAGGGGCUGGUUUGACUGUGUUAGCCUUGCUAGGUGUGUGCAGAUAGUAAACUCCUGAAAUUUGUCAAAGAGUUCAAAGAAUUUGCUUUCACCAAAAAAAAAGACCCAACAGGGCAUCUGGCAUGGUGGAGUUUGUGUGUUGGAAUAGAAGUUUUGACCAAGUUAAAGUCACGCAUGGUACAUAUGCACAGUUAAAAAAAUUGUCUAAAAAUUUCAUUAGUAAUGCUUCAUUCUGACUUCUGAUAUCAAUUAUACCCAAGCCUUCCUAUGUUUUUUUAUUUGCAGGUUAUUUCCCAUGCAGCAAGACCUCUUCUAUUAUUAUCACCUUUUUUCCCACGGAACAGUGCUUUCUGAAAACAUCUAUUUUCUUAAUGACUUGAUGAGGAAUUUGGAGGCUACACAUAUAAAGUGUUGGCAGUGCUAAAAAAACUGAAUUGACCAGUGUAAGUCUUCUAUUGUAAGACAAGAAUUUACUGAUACUAGAAAGCCUUAUUUCAAUCCUUGAGAGUAGGGGUGUGAAUUCAAGAAGGGAGUAGGGUUUGGUAGUCCCAAGAAAACCCAAGUAAUAAGUGAAAGCAUGCUACCAACCUUACAUCCAAAGGUGUUGGCCAGGUGAGAGGCUCUGUUAUCAUCUCUGUUGAUUGGUACCAAAAAAGAUUUGUUAAAGUUAACUUGAAGCCUAGUAGAAUCUGAGAAGAGUCUAAGGAGGCCCUUGAGGUUAAAAAGAACUCUUGCAUGCCCUGGUAAGAUGAGGAAUGUGUCGUCAGCAUGCUGAAUAAUAGGGUAAUCUCCUUGGAAAUUAUCACUGAUAGGAGAAGUUGACAAACAACUUUGUCAAGCUAAUGCAGAAGCGGUACCAAACACACACACACACACACACACACACACGUGCACAGGAGUGGAUCCUACCAAGCUAAACAGCACAAACAGUCACACAGGUUGCAGCUAGCUUUCUUUUUAGAUGUGAGGACAUUGCAUAUCCCUAGACGCAGAUUUAGGUUCCUUUUAGAACGCAGAAAUUUUUUGGUUCCAUGAAAAUAAAUUGAUUUGUGUGAAAUUCUGUAUGAUUACUGUGGAAUUCAUGUAUUCCAAAUGGAUCCUUAACUUUUUCGCGUCCUACAGAGUUUUGCUCGUACAAAUCAGUUGAAGAAACCAUGGAAACUGAAAAAUUAUUGCAAAAGAAAACACACACAGCAGCAGCAGAAGACAUUUGCUUAACUAUAACUGAUACUUUUCACUAGCUUUAAUCUAACUGCCUGGCAAUCCAUGAUUACAUGAAGACAAGCCUUCCCAUUGCCAUAUCUGUUUCCUUUUUCAUUUCUUGCAAAGAUAAAAAAGAAGAAGAAGAGAAAAAACAAAGAUGCGAAAUAAAGGAUAACUGAUGACGAUCGAGAUACCUGAUGGAUAGUAAGAUACUAGACGGACAGUAGUAAUAAUAAGAUAGGCUAAAGUUACCAUGAGAUACUAAGAUGCAUAGUACUAAGAUAGGCUAAAGUUAAACGCCAGCAGUCUUGCUGAGGCUAAACUACGACCACGUACGUCCAGUGUCUGAUGAGUCCCUACAUAUAAAGAUAGCUUCCCAAUCAGCUCACGCGCGCAUCGUCUUGUUGCAGCAGCUCGAUCGAUCGGUGAGCUCAAGCGCGGUCCUUGCGGGUCUCCGUGUUCCCCAGGGUGAGCUCCAGGCCCUCCUCCUCGUCGGUGUUCUUGUCGUUCAUCACCUCCUCCUCCCCGCCGCUCCUGUGGAACGAGAACCCGAGCGGUGACAAAAGCUUGCCACCGCGGCCACGGACCACCGCCGACGCCCCGCUGCUGCUGCGUCCCGGCAGCGGCGGGAGCAUCCAGGCAGAAGCAGAGCUCCUGGCGCCGAGCGACGUCGCGCCGGACGCCACGAAGCUGCUGUAGGCCGGUCCCUUGUUGGCCGCGCCGGUUGAUAAGUGGAACCCCGCCAGCAGGGUCGUCACCGGCGGGUCGGGGCCGAGGGGCCGGCCGACGACGGUGCUCAUCAGCGGCGCGGUGGAGGUCUGGAAGGAGUAGCGGCUGGCGCCAGCACCCGUGGCCCACGGAGGCGGCAGCACGUUGUUGGGGGCCCUCGCCGGGCUCGGCGGCGGGGUGGCGGGUGGCGGGGAGGAGUAGUAGCGCACCUUCUUGUGGAGGCGCGGCGGGGACGAGGGCCGGGAGCCGUCCUGCGGCAUCGCCGGCGCCUUGGAGUUGGAGGAGCUCGCGAAGAAGUUGGGGUACGAGUUGUCGCCGAGCUGUUUGGACAGGUUCUUGAGCCACGCCGGAAUGGGGUCGGCUGCGCCGCCGCUGCCCCCGCCGCCGAGCGUGAUGCCGCCGGAGGGUGACCACGCCCGGUUCAGGCUGUAGGAAGCUCCGCCUGCGCCUGGUGGGUUCACCGCAGCAGACGACCCGACAACGUCGGCCAUAUGCUGAUCAUCACCUGCCGGAGGCUUGGGUCCCUGAAGAAACACAAAUCGAAUUAGAGCCGAGAGGGCAUCAACGAACGACAAUAGAGUAGACAUGCAUUCACAUGCACGCAAAAAAUGUGCAAUCGACGACAGUUUUUCUUUCCCUGCGCAUCCGUUAUUCCGUUUACAGUCGACGUAACAGUACGACUAACGAGGCCGACUGAAGCAGCUAGCUGCACACACGCCAAUCUGCAGGUAGCUUUGAGAAGGAAGGAAGCUCAUCCAAUCUUGUUGGAAAGGCAAUGGAACAGUUGAUGUAUAGCUAGAUGACGAGCAACUGAAAUUAAAACAAAACAAAUUUUGGACUUUUGCUACAAACAAAAGACGACGAAGCGGAAAAGUUUGCAACUGUCGACGAUACUACACUACACACGCAGCUCGGCAGAGCGAAACGAAGCCGGACGCGCGACGACAAGAACGAGAACCAGCGCAAACGAAACAAUGGAAAGGCAACGGCGGCGGCGGCGGGGGGCCGGCCGGCGGCGACCAUUAAUUAGCUCGAUCAUCGGAACAGCGAGCUGAGAAAGAGUAAUGAGUACCUUGCGGUAGGUGGUGCCGUCGGCCUCGACGGUCCAGCCGGCCUCCUCGCAGAGCGCCUUGAGCACCAUGUUGUUGUCGCAUUUCCUGGGGAGGGCGUAGUUGCCGUAUUUGCGCAGCCCGGUGAAGAUCCUCGCCGCGAUCAACCGGCGACGGCGCUCCCGGCGCCGGUUGUUCUCUCGCUCACGCCACGGCAGCUCCCGCACCGCCGCCUUCCCGUUCCCGUUCUCCUUCCCGUUUCCGUCACCUGCCCUAGCCCAUGCGCCGUCACCCCCACUUCCUCCCGCUCCUACUCCCUUCAUCACCAUUUCCGUGGUGAGGACGAAGCUGCUGUGGUGGUGGUGAAGCAUCGGCUGCAGGUGCACUUUAUGUAGGCCGCCACUGAUAACUGACAGGACAGUGAUUUUCCCAUUAUGCCCAUGGCUCGAGUACACAUGAUAGCCAAGGACGCGGAGGGCACCUUUGGUAAUUGCAUCAGGUACCUAUUGCAGCAGUGGCAAUUUUUAGCAAUGGUGUAUUAGCCUUAAUGACCUGCCAAGAAUGGAUGACAAGGAGUGAUCUGGUUAGAGUAAACAUAGAUGACUGCUAGUUUUAUGAGAGCUACAUUCAUUAUGGUACAAAAAAUAUAUACGAGACCGACUGGUGGGGCCAGUGAAGCUAGAACUGGUGCCAAACCAGCCCUGAGCAUGGAAAGGGGUCAGGUUUGGACCUGUUGAUCGCCAUGGAGCGGCUCCUGAUGCACCAGCACCACAUCUGACCUUUCCCAUUGGGUUGGUUUAUUCCUUGCCAUGGUUUUGCAAUCAUGGAGUAUGUAAACCCUAGACACAAUGCGGUCAUCGGUGUCGCAACCAUGAAGUAACUUUAGAUACGUGCGGGUUCAGUUACUCCAGAUACGUGCGGGUUUGGUUUGGUAAAAAGUCGUUAUAUUUUACGUGCAUGAUUGGAUAUUUUCUCGAGGCAAUAGCAACGCACUCCUUACCGAAAUGAUGGUAGUAACGGGGACUCGAGGGAAAAAGUGUCGCCACUUCUACUUUGACAUGGAGUUACUGAAAAUAUUUGCUUUUUAGUAUUCAAUGAAGAUUUGUGUUACUAUCAACGGUUAUAUGUAAUACAAAACACACGAGCACGAUAGUUUCAUGUACAUUCAUGCAACUGAGAAUCAUGGCGCCACGUGUGUAUGCACGUGCAUUAUAAUGCGAAAAUAUUGUUCCUAGAAUUAGAUGAUGUCAACUAUUUUUUUUGGCAAAAAUCAGAUGGUUUACAACACAUGCUCAACUCUUUAACUAUAGUUGUUCUUAUAGUUGUAAUGAAUUAUCCUCGAUUGUCAUAGAAAUAUUAAUGAGCAUUUACGCAACCAUGAAGUUACUACCGUACAUUGACAACAAUGAGAUACAACCAUAUAUAUAUAUGCCAGAUCAAAGAUAUUUUAGAAAACAGCUCACCUAUUACCAUUUCUACUACUCGAUAAAUUGAAAUAGCAUUGUACAUAUACAUUGCUGACCCAUAUAAGUUAGGGGCAUUUGGCUACCGGACAUGCAAAGUGGCGCGCAUUAGCUGAAAGACACUUUUUCAUGUAACACUCACCACCAAAACAGUUGCCAUUUGUAAACCAUAGCCCCCUCCCACAGGGGCGACUCCGCCGCCACCGCCGCCUUCGGCCCGUGUUCCCCUCGCCUCCAACCUCCCUGCCAGUGCUGAGGAUAGGUUUUUCUCCUUUUAUUUUUCUUUGCUCCAUAGUAAUUUGGGCCAGGUUUUGGUUGGUCAUUUCAAUGUUUUCGAUCUAGCUUUCUGUUUUAUGUCGGAUCGUUGAUGGAUGUGUCAUCGUCUUCGAUGAUGGGAUGCUCUUUGUUGAGAGAUCAAGGUAUAUUGGCAUAGUUCUUCUCGAGGAGGGAUUGGAUCUAUUUUUCCCUUCUAUGGGAUUGUCUUUCUGGCCGCAGCGGCAGCAGAUCUGCCAUUCCGAUUGCUGGUGAUUAUGCUAGUAGCGUCGAAUCUUAUGUCCGUUCAUCCUUUAGAAGAUAUGGCCGAUGUGCUCUCGACACCAUUUACUCCCCAUAGUGGUUGAGCUUAUCGUGCCUCUUUUGCAGUCUCCAUGUUUCUAGAGCCUUCUGUUGGUAGGGAUUAUGGUUCUUGGGUCCAGAUCUAGUGUACUUUCAUGGUCGAGAUGAAGCUUCCUAAAGAGGAGCACCGCCGGAUGCGAGGUAGAUGAAGUAUAGGGACCUAGUGGUGUGCUUCAAUGUAAUUUUAUUUUAUAUUGAGGUCUCAAUUGUAAAAGGGCUUUAAAGUUAAUGAAAUACAGUCCCUUUCUUAAAAAAAUAUGGUUUUAAAAAAAGAGAUCAUGAGUGGAGUUUCUAAAACUCCAAAAGAAAAACUAUAGUUUUGAAAAAACCAUGGUUUUUGAGGCUACAAGAUUUGUUGCACCUAAACACCUAGUAGCUUUUAAAAACCAAAUUAUUUUGUAAAACUAUAGUAUUUCUCUAAUACUUCAAAAAUACUUUGCAUUCAAACAGAGCCUAUCUGUGUUUUAGUUAUCAAAUCUACGGUGAUUAAAUUAGUUGUUUACUAGAAACUAUAUAAAUUAGGAGAAUUUCAAGCUAAGCACAUAGAAAAUACUAGUCACAACCAGAAAAAGUGAAAAUUUGUAAUCCAAAAUCUUUGAAUGUUUUGAACAACCAUGCUUCACUUAUUACUACUGCGUACUACUUUAUAUAUUAUUAGUGGUUCAAAUUGCGUUUUACCAUAGGUAAGUCGUUCGAAACCACGAAUGACAGAGUUUAUUCCUAAAGUGAUGAAAUGGUUCUUCAUCAAGUUAAACAACAUUCAUUGCAUAGCUGGUGGCUAGCAAUUUGCAUCCACGUUGACUUUUAGUUCUGCAGCUUUAACCAGAUAUAAGCAGCUAGCUGCUAAAAAUUGCUAAUAUAUAUUUAUGUUACAUAGUUAGUAUCAUUAUAAAGAUCUUUAAAUCUAGUUUUUUAAUAAAUUUAUUUAGAGAUAUAAAUAUUACACGUAUUUUUUCAAAUCAAGUCAAACUUGUGAUGUGGAAACCGAAAACGACACUUAAUUUGGGAAAGAGGGAGUACGUGCUCCAUAGGUAGCAGUCUCAUCAGCUUGCUAUUGCCAUCCUCAAGCUGUCUCUAAUAGGAGAACUAUUUGGGAACCCAAAUCCAAAAUGGGUCUCCAACAUAAUAUCUAUAGCCUCAGUAUCCAUACAGAAGACUCAUUUUGGUAUGAGGAGAGGCAUAACCCAAAUUUGGGUAUCCUCUCUCCUUGAGACCCAUUUGCAGAGAAUAUUGUCUUUUAGGUCUUAUUGUUGGAGAAGACUAAAAAUAGGUAUAGAAUUUUUUACAUGUAGUACUACUCAAAGGACAAAUGAGUCUUGUAUUUUGUAUUUUGGGUGACGAUUGUUGGAGAUAGUCUCGUGAACUUACGAGGCCCAUAUCCUCUCCAAUGGUUGCAGUUUGCCCAUAUCCGCUCACCCUUUUGGCCUUUUCCCACGAAAGCGACGCUGCGAGCAAGGCUCGCACCACACAUUUCACACUUACAACUAGCUUCCAGUCCUUGAUGUCUGACUGUCUGAGAUGCCUUUUCCACUGCGAUUCCAUGCAACUCUUCAGUUUUGCUGCAACGCAUACUACAGGGUUCGUUGUUGCGAAAUGAUUUUCACGACGGUCAAAAACGGUUUAUAUGGGUGAUGAUUUUCGAAACCCACGCUUCACUAUCGAUUAUAAAGACGUUGCCUUUUAAUUAUAAAGACGGGCUUCCAACCGUUCUUUUGAAAUUCAUUUCCAGAGAUGGUUAUCUUAGGCCUUAUUUAGUUCAACCCAAAACUUUUCAAGAUUCUCUGUCACAUCGAAUCUUGCGGCACAUGCAUGGAGCAUUAAAUAUAGAUGAAAAUAAAAACUAAUUACACAGUUUAUCUGUAAAUCGCGAGAUGAAUCUUUUAAGCCUAAUUAUUCCAUAAUUGGACAAUGUUUGUCAAAUAAAAAUAAAAGUGCUACAGUGUUGUUUUCUCAAAAAAAUUUGGUACUAAACAAGGCCUUAAACCAACCACCCAUGUAUAUGCAAUUUUAGGACCCUGCAAAUGUGAAUGGCCAUCUUGUUUAAAACAAACCGCUUCUCAAAAUACAUUUGAAAUUAUAAAAUUUUCAACUAUAUUUAUUUUAUAUUAUCUCACCGGUUUUUAUGUGUACACACUAUCAGAUUUUACAUACGUGACCUAAUAUUCCACCCAUUUUAAAGUCAUCGUCAAGUGGUUAGUAAUAAUGUUAUAUGCAUUAAAACUAAAGUAUUAAACACACACAUUACAUGUUAUUUACACUGUAUUUAUAACAAUUAGUGUCGUCGAUAGUACCAAUUACAAAAUGAUAUACGCAAACACUGAGUGGCAAAGAGUUAUGCAAGUCUUGAGUGCUAAUUGAGUGGUCUAAUUAACUAGUCUACUAAACACUUCAUAAAAAGCAAUCAUCUAAUAUUUUCUUAAACAAUUUUGGUAGUUAGAGCACUAGAGAUUAGCCUCAACUCACAAGAAACGUGUCUGAGCUCCAACAACAACCAAAUAUCCGGUUGGUGGUAUAUAUAGCCUCCACCCCAGAUAUAGCUGUUGGCAAAGGAUUAUAUAUGCAGUGCUCACCAGGAACAGGAAGGUCCGGUAAGGCCACCAGAGAAAUUCAGUUGCCUACCACUUCAUCUAGUCGUUGCUAACUUUUGAAGGGCCUUUUCUCCAGUGCACCACCGGGAGUAUUCCGGUGUCCCUCUAAACCUUAGAAACUUUUAGACAACACUCUUUUCUUCUGGUGCUUCUCUUCAAGAUACUCGUAUCACCGAGAAUUCUGAUGGUCUUAAAAACCUUCCGCAGAACUUCGCCCAAGUGUUGGUCUGGCCACCAAAUAAUUCCGGUGAGUGUUGGCGAUCAGACAUAUGAUGCUAUUCCUGUGUUUAAUCGAAUUCUCUUGGUACACUUAAAUUCUCUUUCAAUAUUUAUAAUAAUGUUAUUUCUUUUGGCACUUAAAUUCUCUUUUGUUAUUUUUGAAAUUACUAGUUAGCACUAGCUGAUGAAUUUUCACUACUACAUAUUCCUGUCCUUUGUGUUUUUUUUCCAAAGAGAAGAGAGACUUAUAUUAAAUCUUGGCAUAGUACAUCCCUAAACUACACAUGAAAAAAAUCUGAAAUAAAAAAUACAUAAUAUUCUAUCCAGGUUCUUCUAUCAUCUUCUUCCCUAAUGGCUUCUCCCUUGAACACCGGAGCCAAAGUGCAGUCUUUAUGCCGAAUUCAAUAACCAACCCUAAAACACUGGACAUAUCAUAAGAUUUAACGCUUCAGAACCAGUCUAAACCGCAUCUAAAAGAAUAUCGGCGGCUGCAUCAUUGGGUAUGACAUAGGCUACAUAACCAUCACCUAGAGAUCUUGAAUUCCUCAGAUCGAUGACCUGAAGUCAUUAUACUAGUAGGAGGCUCCCAGAAGCACCCCUCUCCUUGCACAUAAAGGCCAUAAAUUGCCACCCUCCUAUGAAAUCGACGUCUACAACGGCGAUCUCAUCAUGACAAUCACCUAAGUCAUCGCAGAAAACACAACGCCGACUGAAAAUCAUCUAAUUUUGUCGGAAGAUAUAUUGGACCAAGCUCUAAUUAACUAGAUAGAAAAAAUACGACAAUAGAAGGAUGGAUCCCCUGUCCUUGUCUCCGGCAGAGGGAGACCCUAAAUGUGGUGGCGGCGGAGCGAGGAGCGACUAAUGGCCCUUUGUGAAUGAGAAAGUACAUGUAAGUUUCAGUCACCUCAAUAAUAACAUCUACAAUUGGAGCAUACGAUGAAGUCAAAGUAAAAGUAGUCUUUGUUGGAUUUCGUUCAAAACCUUACGAAAUGUUUCAUGCUUUGCUCCUUGUACUCAUGAAUUUUUUCAUGAUUUGUUCCUUUUCAGUAAGGAUAAAUACGGUUUUUAUUCAGACUUCACAUAAUUCAUGUGCUGAAUGUGUCAAUUACAAUAAUGGAAUGGAGGGAAUUUGAUGUUUUUGUUCCUGCUCUAGAGUUCAAUUGUGAUUUUAUCUCUACUUUUUAAACUUUGUAAUUUUGCCCUCAUAGUUUUGGAUUGAAGAGUCUCUAGAAUGAAAUGCACCACUUGUUCUUAUUUUUUUUCUUUUUUUUGAGUGGAUCUUAUUUUUUUCUCAUACAUCUGUCGAGUAUUUCAUGCCAAUUGACAGUUGACAGGCCCAACUGGUAGUGUAGGUAGGCCCAAUACUAUCUUGAAAUUUAGCCCAAUAAUUUCUUACUAGUAUUCGACAGCCUAAACAACAAACAAGUUUGGCCUAGAUAACAACCACUCGCUCCUAAUCUCUCAAAGCCGCGACCGCGACCUUCCGACAUUCUGACCGACUGCGUGCCUGCACGAGGUGCGAGCGACCGCCGCUACCUGCUGACUUGCUGAGCCUCGAGGCCCCAGCGACAGCGGGUCCCGCGCUGGCCGCCGCCUCGUCUUGCGGCAACCUCCACCGCGACGCCGCCGCACGUGGCUGCGCGCAGUGCUCUGCCAGUCCGCCGGCACCGGGUGUGCCAAAGCAGCUACCCGGCCGCCCACCUCGCCGCAGAAAAUAUUUGUAGAACUCCCCUAGAAAAUGCAUUAUUAAUAAUAAUGAAAAAAAAUCACUCAAUCCUCUGUUCCCCAAUGUUGCAGCGCCACUAGCUGUGCGCCUCGAGCCCACCUCUCCGCAGGAGCCCCCGCCAGCCGCCACACGCCACCCGCCACUCUCUUUAUGCAUGCCUUGUCUAGUUCGCGUAAAAAACCAAAAAAAAAAUUAAGAUUUCUCGUCACAUCAAAUCUUACAACACAUGCAUGAAACAUUAAAUAUAGAUAAAAAUAAAAACCAAUUAUACAGUUUAUAUGUAAAUCACGAGACGAAUCUUUUGACCCUAGUUUAUCUAUGAUUGGACAAUAUUUGCCACAAACAAACGAAAGUGCUACAGUAGCAAAAUUCAAAAAAAUUUCACAUCUAAACAAGGCCUAGUGGAUUAGUGGACAAAGGCUCCUCCCAUAUACCUGCUUCAUUUAUGUUUUUUAUUAUGGUAGUAAGGCUAGUUUCAACGUAUGUUUCAUGAGAGUGUCAGGCACAUUAAAUAGGGUGCCACAUAAGCAAAUUUGCUGACUUGGUAGGGUCAUUAAAUGAAGGAAUUUCAUCAAAUGAGAGAGAAGUUUCAUCCCCAUGAAACUCAGGUGGCUCGGUUAUCUAGUUUAUAGUCUCGGUAAUUGUGCCAUAAAACUAUGAAUUGAGACUCGUCUAACUUCUUAGUGUAACAUUUGGGCACAAAAUUUCUCAAUGCAACACCUCAGGCCUUGUUUGGUUCACCCAAAAACCAAAAACUUUUUAAGAUUUCAUGUCGCAUCAAAUCUUGCGGCACAUGCAUAGAGCAUUAAAUAUAGGUGAAAAUAAAAACUAAUUGUAUAGUGAGCUAAGGUACCGAGGCCUUGUUUAGUUUACCCCAAAAACCAAAAAGUUUUCAAGAUUCCCUGUCACAUCAAAUCUUUCAGCACAUGCAUGAAACAUUAAAUAUAGAUAAAAAAUAAAAACUAAUUGCACAGUUUAACUAUAAAUCGCGAGACGAAUCUUUUGAUCCUAGUUAGUCCAUGAUUGGACAAUAUUUGUCACAAACAAACAAAAAUACUACAGUAGCGAAAUUCAAAAUCUUUUCGCAUCUAAACAAGGCCUGAAAAAGGCCCUGAAUGGCGAAUCAAAUGCUAUAAGGAGCACGGAGAAGUGAGAACAGCAUUACAGAGGCUGCUAUCUUCCAUUUAUGUUCUUGCUCAAACUGCAGAUGGUGGUGGGCAUCGGUACCUGCAGCAUACACAGCAAACCAUUAACAUUCAGUGCUACUUGGAUAAUGGUACUAGUUGUAGUGAGCUCAUAUAUGCAGAGUACAGUCCAACUCAUGUAGAUAAAAGGUUCUGUAAAAGCUUCUAGACAAUAACUUCCAUUGAUCAAUCUUAUAAAAACAUAUUAUGCAGCACAUAUAUAUAUAUAUAUAUAGCUAUUUGCAAUUACAUCCAGAUUUGUACUUCUGGAACAUGCCAUGGCACUCUGAAAUUGCUUUCAAGCUACUCAUCAACUCUUCCCAGCGAAACAGAUGCCGAGAAAGCCAAGAGAAAGAUCAUAAAGCUGAUGGCAGCUAUGGUUGGGACCUAUCAGAACUGAGGUUAUUCCAAACACCGAGCGGGAAGCCUGGGUGGUCUGGUCUGGAAGAACUUAUGCCUUGUUUAGUUCGCAAAAAUUUUCAAGAUUUCAAGUCACAUCGAAUCUUUGGUCGCAUACAUAGAACAUUAAAUAUAGACGAAAAUAAAAACUAACUGCACAGUUUACCUGUAAUUUGUGAGAUGAAUCUUUUGAGCCUAGUUACUCCGUGUUUGGACAAUGUUUGUCAAAUAAAAACGAAAUACUACAGUAGCCAAAAACCAAACUUUUUGCGAAACAAGGCUAGCCACCGGCGAAGCAGCGAGACGGCGAGACCUAGACCGACGCGUGCGGCGUGCAAGGACCGAAAGGCUGGUCGUGACCGCAUCUGGCUGUGUCUGCUACCGCGGCGGCGGCGGUGGCCGGAUGCUAGCUCAUCACGGCAUGCUCUCGUCAUUUUCGAUCCCAAAAGCAAAAACGAACUCGCACCUACAGACACUCGCCGCCGACGAGACGGACUGACGGAGGAUGGGUCCUAACAGGCCUCCUGCCCGAGAUCCGCUGGGCCCUGCUGGCCCAUGGAAGUCUCGCUUUCCCGACCAAGGACAACGCCACGUGCAGGUAGGUGCCCGGUGCAGCACGCUUCCGUUGCAAGUUGGAACGAUAGUUAGGCCUUGUUCACUUGAAAAUUUUUGGUUUUGGCUACUGUAGCAUUUUCGUUUGUUUGUGACAAAUAUUAUUCAAUUAUGGACUAACUAGACUCAAAAGAUUCAGCUCGCGAAUUACAGGUAAACUGUGUAAUCAGUAUUUCGUUUUGUCUACGUUUAAUACUCCAUGCAUGUGCCACAAAAUUCGAUGUGACGGGGAAUCUUGAAAUUUUUUGGGUCCAAAAUUUUUUGCAAAAUUUGAAUAGUAGCACUUUCGUUUAUAUUUGACACAAAAGUGCUACUAUUCACAUUUUGCAAAAAAAAUCGUCUCGUCAAAAGAUUCGUCUCGUCAAUUUCGACCAAACUGUAUAAUUAGUUUUUAUUUUCAUCUAUAUUUAAUACUCCAUGCAUACGUCUAAAGAUUCGAUGUGACGGGGAAUCUGAAAGAUUUUGCAAAAUUUUUGGGGAACUAAACAAGGCCUUAGGCACUCGUAAUGCAGACUUUAUCAUAUAGUCUAAAGUUAUUUAUUACUUCGAACAAUAUAAAUUUAGAAUCUAAAUAAGACUUGAAAUCUUAUUCUUUUUACUUCUUUCUUCAAUAAAUAUGCUGCCACAUCAGUAAAAUACCAUAAAUAAUAUGUAAUUAAUUGUCUUUGACUCUAUGAUAUAGUCUUGCAUUGUGAGUGCCCUUACAAACAGUUACCCACCGGUCACCGGCUACCUACACGACCCGCUGCACGGUGGGCCCCUGAGGUUGGGGCCCACCCUGCUCAUAUGACCUCACUCACGUCACGCGCACCGCAGCGUAGCGGCAUAUUUCGAAAAUGUAUUGGAGCACACACAUGCUCAAUAGGGUUUAUCUCAACCGUUAAAUAAUGUUCUCGAGAUUUGUGUUGUCCUUUCUUUGCUUGUAUUAUGUUUAUAUUUUUUCUUUCAAUGUAUUCGACGACAGAAGCGCCCACGUCGUGCGUACCCCACCCAUGUGCUGCCUCUCUUCUCUCACGCUCUCACGACAUGCACACUACAUCAGUUUUCGGUUUCUCUAACCACGGGCUUGUUUAGUUUCUAAAAUAUUUUGCAAAAACUUUCACAUUCCUCAGCAAAUGCAUUACAAAUCUUUUUGGCUAUUUAGUUUAUAAUUGGAUAAUAUUUGUCAAACACAAACGAAAAUUGUACUGUUUAUAUUUUGCAAUUUUUUUUAAGUAAACAAGGCCGACUUCUGCUUCUUAGCUCUUUUCAUGGCCUACUUCUGAAGUAGUACAGGUAAUGUAUACGUACAUAAAUACAAUAUACACGAAGAAGAUAGCAAAGAAGUUGUCACUGUAGUUGUACAUUUCGAGGUUGAGUUGGAUGGCUAGGAUAGUGCCUGUUGAGCAUGUAGACACAAAAAAAACCGGGUUCGGCAUAUUUCCUCCUGAGCCAGCCAUACUGCCCACCAGGCCACCCCACCACACCACCCCACCGAAGCCCUCCGUUUCGUACGGCCUCCCCAAAAAUCUCAACCCGUCUCUCUCUCCUAACGAAGAGGAGGAGAGAGGGGGGCAGAAGAAAACCUCGCGCGGGGGAGGCGCGACAGGGCUCGCGGGGGCCGGUGAAGGUGUCGCGCGCCGGCGCCGUCCGAGGUGAGCGCUCCGCUUCCCCACGACGCGGCCUCGCUUGCUCGCUGGGAAUUGGGUUUCGGAUCCGCGGAUGGGGGGGUGGGGGUGGGGGGGGGCUACAUGCGGUAGCUGGUUCGAUCCGGGUUGCGCGGAUUUCGCGCUGGAUUUGUUGGCACUCGGAUUAGACGCCGUGGUUGGUCUGUUGUGUGGUUGCGGCCGUGGUGAAUUGUUGCGAUCGGGUCUCAUUGUUGCGCUUGGUUCAUGUGUGUCACUGAGGGGGAGUGAGGAUCUGCGUAAGGAACCGAGUUCGAAUUUUUACCGAUUUGGCACUGCUGGUGUUCCAAAAUAGCUCACUGAAAUCUCUGGUACUCUGCGCAGUUGAUUUUUGUUCCGCUGCUGUUUCUAGGAGGAUACUAGGGGCUACUUCAUAGGCAUUGUCAUGUCGAAGCGUGGGAACGGUACUAAUGUUCUGGGAUUUUACCAUAGAUGUUGACCUUCUCAAAUAAAAGCUGGAAAAUCACCAUAAAUAAACCUGUUACCAUGUAUGUCCAGAGUGUCCAAAGUGGUUUUUAUAUAGCGUCUUAUGUCCUAUGUUGUUUCUCUUCAAAUAAACUUGAUGACUUGGAAGUAGAACUAGAGUCUUACAACUAUUGAAGUCAGAACUUGACUCAUGGAAUUUCGUGAAUGUUUUUUUUAAUGUGCAUGUGUAUGUGCCCUUUAUAAUCUGUAGAAUUUUAUUACAAUCACUGUGAGAACCAGUGGAAGGCUAGUUGGUUUGUAGCCCAAAUGCAGUAGAAGAUUAGGAACUGUGUAGUAUGUUUAUGCAUUCACAACUACUUUUUUGAGUGCAUAUUAGGUCUUGGAUGGGUAUGCUAGCAUUGAACUAAAAAAUUGAGAAGCACAUGGUUAGGUUACAGUUUGUAAUGUGCAUGAUAUCUGAAACUCGAUUUGAUUCUAAACUUAUUAGUGUUUAGCAUUUGAUAAGCUGAUAAAAAUGUUGCUCGAUUGUGCAUUUGUGGUCGCAUUACACAUAUGCUGCUGAACCUGGCACUUUUGGUCACAUGUAUGCUGCUGGAACAUGCAACGCGUGAUGCUGAAAGUAUUUAGCUUUGGUCACACAAAUGCUGUUGGAACAUAUGAGGGGCGAUGCAUGGCUGGUAUUGUAUGUUACAUUUGCCAACUUGAAUUUGCAAACAAACUUUCCUUCUUCGCCGAAUUUCAAUGGCAUUUUGGAUCUAGAGAGCCUGAAGGAACUUUAGGCCUUGUUUAGAUCCAAAAACUUUUUAGAUCUGGAUACUGUAGCACUUUUAUUUGUAUUUGAUAAUUAUUGUCCCAUCAUGGACUAACUUGGUUCAAAAGAUUCAUCUUGCAAAUUAUAGACAAACUGUGUAAUUAGUUAUUUUUUAUCUAUAUUUAAUGUUUUAUAUAUGUGUCACAAGAUUUGAUGUGACGGGGAAGUUUUUAUUAGUUUUUGGCAAACAAGGCCUUAAUGCACUUAGCGCUUGCUGGGUGAAGCGAAGCUCAUUUUGGUUCUAGAAGUGAAGUGGAAACCCAUCAGUCGUCAGCAUUCACCUGUUCAUUUUUUUUACCCCUCAUUGGAAGAGGAGAGAACUAAUAGAAGGCGAGCUUGCUGUCUAAGUGUCUAUGCUUAUUGUUUCAGCGUGAGACAGAAAGGAGCUGCCGUCCAGGACUCCAGGUUCCGGCACUUUUUAAAGACUAAGGGGUAAGAUGGUCAAUUCACAUGGUCAUACGAUGGCACAAGGGUAAGUGCAAAAGAAUUGAAUUAAAAAUGGGGAACGGGGAACAAAAUCGAAGUGGCUAUUGCUGGCAAAUGAGAGGAACCCAAUGUUUAAAUUGACAAAACGGCAAAAUUCUGACCUGCUACUGAUUUCGCUGCACUGCACUGCACCAAAGCUAACCUAGCUUCAGUCUUUCUUUUCAUGGAAAAAGUUCAUUCUACCUUCAUUUAGAGUCUUAUGGAUUUUUUUAUAUAUUUUUGGACAUUUUUUAGAAUUUAAUAUAUUGUUUUGAAACAUUUAUAAGAUAUUUUAGUGUGCUCUAUCGUAAUAUAUACUCCUUCCGUACUCAUAAAAAAAGUCAUUUUGGACAAGGUUUGAGUCAAGCAUUGAGAAUAUACAUAAUGAAUAACUUUUAAGUUGUUGAGUUUGAAAUGUGAAAAUCAUAUGAAUAGAUUUUGUCUUGAGAAAUACUUUCAUAAAAAUAUACAUAUACCACUUUCUGAUAUUUCUAUAAAACAAUAAGUCAAAGCUAGAUUUGGAGAUCAUGUCCUGUCCUAAACGACUUCCUUUGUAAAUAGGAAGUAUAUUUAGGAUUUUUUCAUGUUUUUAGAAACUUAGAGGCAUUUUCUAUGGUUUGAAAAUCUUACCAAGCAUUUGUUGGAUUCUUUAGCUAAAAAGGACAAAACCAUCUUCAAAACCACCUCAAACCAUGAUAGGAAGGUAGUUUGAAUAAUUUUAAUAUUUUGAAAAUAUUGCCGAGAUAGUUCAUAAAUGUAAAAUGGACUUUUUCCUCUUUCCAUUAGUUUCACCCUUCCAGUCCCGGGCUGGGCUCACACUUGACUGUGGAAGGAGCAGGCCGGGCUGGCCCCUUUUUCGAGAGACAGAAAGAGGCAGAGGAAUCCAAACAGUGGGCCAGAUCCAGCCGAGUCCAAAUAAGCAGGCCCAUUUAGCCAGCCUUCUCUUUUCUUUCUUUCUUGCCAAGAUUUCAUUCACCAUUUUCUAAAAGAAAAAAGUCUACUUACCCCCUGAAGUAUUGACCUGUGUCUAGGCCCUCAACUACAAAACCAGGUAACCUACACUCUAAAAUUUGGAAAAAGGGCAACGAACCCCCUGGGGCGGUUUGGGAGGGCGGUUUUGGUGACGUGGCAGCCAGCGUGUCAGCGGUAUGACACGGUGGCGUAGGCGAUGCCGUCCAGAGGUGGCUAGCAGGCAGCUGGUACUUGAGCGACGGAGAUGAGCGAGUCGAGGGCGUCCUAGGGCAGCUGGUACUUGAGCGACGGCCUGGGCGCCCCCGACGCGAAGAGCGCGGGCGCAGCCUUGGCGCGAGCGCGGCGACGAGGGCGGCGAAGGAGGCCGCGGCGUGCGGGAAGGACACAGUGCGGGUCACCCUGCCGACGUAGCGCAGCUGGCGGUCCCCUGAGCGGGGCAGGAUGCGGCCGUCGAAGCUGCACAUGAGGCGCACCUGCGGGCCCCCGUGCGCCGCCUACGCUUGCGCGGGUGGAGCGACCGGGGUGGUGCGGGCGUCGGGGGCAGAGGCGGCGGGUGGUGGUGGUGGUGGUUGCCGCCGUUGCCGUUGGCGACCCCGGCGCGCGGGGUAGAGGACGCUGAGGAGGAGUCUGGGUGGUGCGAGGACGAUGACGUCAUAGGACUAGUGCAGCGACGCGCCGAGGCGGGACAGGUCCGCGCACGCUGCGAACACGCGGUUGUCCGAGAACUUCUCCACCGCGCAGGUCCCGGCGCCGACCGCGUGGGCUGGAGUGGCCGCCGCCGCCGCCAGCGUGGCGAAGAGGACGGCGAUGAGGAGCCACGGGAUGGACAUGGCCGCGGCUACGCGGGGUGGGGGUUCUUGCGUGCUCCAAGGAAGGGGAAUCUACACAGAGAGGGAUGGAGAGAAGGUUGCGGAUUUUGGGUUCCGGAGUAGCGGAGUUGAGCUCGUCGGAUGCUGCAGUGAAGAGAAACAGGGGAGGAUGCGGAGUAUUUGAGGGGUUGCCUGACAUGUGGGCCCACCUGCUAGCCACCUCUGGACGGCAUCGCCCGCGCCACCAUGUCAUACUGCUGACACGCUGGCUGCCACGUCACCAAAACCGCCCUCCAAACCGCCUCAGGGGUUCGUUGCCCUGUUUUCCAAAUUUUAGAGUAUAGGUUACCUGGUUUUGUAGUUGGGGGUCUAGGUUAGACACAAGUCAAUACUUAGGGGGGUAACGGUUGCACUCGUUCCGGAUGCCGUUCCGGACGGAGGCGGAGGAGGUUUUGCACCUAGGCCCUUAUAGUUUUCUUAUUUGAUGUGUACAUAAGAUUUUGCAUUGGGAACCCUGAAAAUUUUUUUAUUUUGUUUUCCUCUUCAUCCGGAACAAAGGCGGACGGAGGGGGAGGCAGACAGAUUUUUGGGGACAGACUGAAAUUUUGGUGAUUAAGUAUUAGGGAAAGAAUAUAGAUAUAGAUAUAGAUAUAGAUAUAGAUAUAGAUAUAGAUAUAGAUAUAAUAUACAUAAAAAAGAGGCUAGGCCAGUUCAACAAAAUUGGGCAGGUUCAAGCCUGGCCCAAAUAAGCCCAUGCAGCCCAUCAUAGUCCCAGAUUGCACGAUCAGGACGAAGACCUACCCGACGGCGCCGGCAGUGCUCACAGCCACGCAGGAGCAGGAUGCCCUCUCUCUCUCUCUCUCACACACACACACACACACGACCCCAGCUUGGUACCCCGCGUCCGGCCUCCAGCAUCCCCACCCGACGCCGACGACCACCUCUCAGUGAUUCGUCCUCUGCGCGUUGGCCCUGGUUGCUGCCCGCGUCUAGUAGGGGGGCGUCGCCCGGCGCGCCCUGCAGCAGCUCCUGACAGCCGGCGCCGCCAGCACCCGCAGCCUCGCGCCCUCGCCACCACCCGCUGCUACAGCGCGUGCGCGCCCAGAAGGGGCCGGCGGCCGUCCGCCGGCGCACCCAGCCGGGUGCAGAGACGAGCAGGUAUGGCGCACGGGGCAGACCAGAGGCGAACCCAGCACCAGCAGGUAUUCCAGGUUUUGAUUUUUACUUUCUCCACGUGAUUGCCUGGGCGGACAGAAACAUCGUGGAUUACUGAAAUUAUUUUGGCAAUUUAUUAUUAGGGUAUAGAAUAGGAGAUUUUGCAUGGGGAACCCUAGAAAAGAUUCUAUUCUCUUUUUCCUCUCCGCAACCGAUUGAAGUGGAUGGCAUUGGGCGACGAAAGGCUGACAGGGCGAGCGGACAGAAAAAGGCAGACUGAAAUUUUCCCUCUCUAUAUAGAGGUAUAGCUAUAUAUAUAGAUUUAUCCCCGUAAUUUGUCCCCGUGACACCUCAUCUCUUGCUUCUCGAGAUGCAUUACCGAAGUUUUUUUUUUCAAGUGCGUCUGAUUGAUUUGGCGUCUCUUUCCACGUCAGAUUGAUCUUGAUCGAGGCGGAAAACAAAUCCGUCUCUUCCCACCAAGCCACCAACCGGCAACCGCCGCCAUCGAGUGAUGGCCGCCGCGCCGCCCGACGAGCGAAAGCAGGAGAGGCCGCUGACGCCUGCGACGUCGGCGGCGAGCGUGGCGGCGGACUUCGCCAUGGGCGGUGCGGCUGCCGUGGUGGCCAAGACGGGGGCCGCGCCGGUCGAGCGCGUGAAGCUGCUGCUCCAGAACCAGUCAGAGAUGCUGCGCCGGGGCACCCUCACGCGCCCCUACAAGGGCAUCGCCGACGCCUUCGCCCGCGUCCUCCAUGAGGAGGGCGCCGCCGCGCUCUGGCGCGGCAACCAGGCCAACGUCAUCCGCUACUUCCCCACCCAGGUCCGUCUCUGUUUUUGUUCCUUUUCCUUGGUACACAUACUAGUAGUAGAUACCAUUGCUUGAUGCGCCUCCAUUGCAUAUUUGCAUUGCCUUCUCUUACUGCCAAGCUGCUUAUGAAUUUGACACCGACUAAUCGAAUGCUCUACUCACAAAAUUAAUUAGCAAUCAAUGCUGUGCAUGGAUUAUUGGUUCCUGAGUGCAGAAAUUACAGAGCUAGAAAUCCAGAAAUCUUUUUCCUUCGGGAACUCAGACUUCCUGAACCCACAUGUUUGUUACGGCCUCCAAUCCAUUGUUCACAAUUCCUUUCCAUCGCAGAAAAGAGAAAAACAACCAUUCUAAAGGUGUUGACUGGACAGUAUCCUCCAUCCUGUCGUCGCAAAGAAUCCUGUGUGCAUUUUGCUAACACAGUUUUUUGAAACUAAUACUACUAGGAAACAGAAAUGCUUGGUAAGGCCUGGUUUAGAUCCAAAAGGUUUUGGAUUUUGACACUGUAGCACUUCCUUUUGUAUUUAGCAAUUAUUGUCCAACCAUGGACUAACUAGGCUCAAAAGAUUCGUCUCGCAAAAUACUGGCAAAGUGUACAAUUAGUUAUUUUUUUUAUCUAUAUUUAAUGCUCCAUGCAUGUGCCACAAGAUUCGAUGUGAUGGGGAAUUCUUGAAAAGUUUUUGGAUUUUGGGGUGAACUAAACAGGCCUUAAUAUGACCGCUUAUGGGUACAAGGAGUGCUUUCUCUAUAAAUACAAUUCAGUGAUUCACAUCUGCACUGCACUUUUAUAUAGUGAAUCUUCAUAAAUGAAAAUACCAGGCCUGUUUAAGGAGAGUGUGGGGGUGUGUUUGUAAGGGCUCUUUUCCUUUAUUUCUUUCUCAAUUCUUAAUAUAAUGAUACACAGCUCUUGUGUGUGUUCAGAAAAAAAAGUAUGCCAAGUUUUAAGUCAUACUUAGUUUUAGUGAUGACAUAAAAAAGACCAGGCUCAACAUUUGCAUCUAUAGGUUUUUAUGCAUUUUACUACAUAGGCUUAUAAUUUCUGUGAAAAGAGCAAUCCUCCAACCUUAUGCAGGUCAUGUGGUUGAACUAUAUGGCAGCUAUCUUUACAGCCAAUUAUCUGAGCUGUGUUAUCGGACAGUUAAAUGAGCAUGUGCUGCUGUUCCCUAUAGUUUGUCUAACUGUGCUUAAUGUUGCAUUAUCUAUGUGUGUCGCACCCUGGAGGCGGUGGUGAUAUAGUUCUUUGUGUCCCGUGAGUGGCCAUUCAUAUUUAUACUUUGUCAAAAAAUUUGAGCUUGUCACUUAUUAUGUGUUUUGCACAUAGAGUUGAGUGUGAGGUAGGGCAAGCUAAACUCUGUAUUAGGUGUGAACUGAGGCCUCUUCUAAAGAUGCUGAGGCCAGAAAAUGAAUAUGUUUUUCCCUUCAUGACAAAAAAGCACCUAAAUGAAACUUCCAUUGUGCAGGCUUUUAACUUUGCAUCCAGGGGCUACUUCAAAAGCUUCUUUGGCUAUGACAGGGAGAAAGACGGACAGUGGAAGUGGUUAGCUGGAAAUGUAGCCUCUGGAAGUGCUGCAGGAGCUACAACAUCGUUGCUGCUAUACCAUCUAGAUUAUGCGAGGACAAGGCUAGCUACUGAUGCAAUUGAAUCACGGGGAACCAAACGCCAGUACAGGGGGUUGCUGGAUGUUUACAAGAAGACACUUGCAACUGAUGGCAUGUCUGGACUAUAUCGAGGUUUCAGUGUGUCUAUUAUGGGAAUCACCUUGUACCGUGGUCUAUAUUUUGGUAUCUAUGAUAGCAUGAAGCCUCUAGUUCUAGUAGGCCCAUUGGAGGUACUGACAGUCUCAUGAAGUUGUAUGACUAUCACAGGAGUUUCCUGCUAAGUUCUAUAUGUCACCCUUAACUUCUGUUUUUGUUGCUAUUCAGGGGAACUUCUUCGCCAGUUUUGCCUUGGGUUGGGCAAUAACUACAUUCUCUGGGGCAUGUGCCUAUCCAUUUGACACGGUCCGUCGUAGAAUGAUGUUGACUUCAGGACAACCAUUUAAAUACAAGAACGGUUUCCAUGCAGUAAAACUGAUAGUUUCAAACGAAGGGUUCUUCACAUUAUUCAGAGGUGUUGGUGCAAAUAUUCUUUCAGGGCUGGCGGGAGCUGGAGUUCUUUCUGGGUAUGAUCAACUCCAACAGUUGGCAAGCCGGCAUGGUCACAAUUUUGAGCGCAAGAUGAAAGGGGCAUUGAAAUGAUGUGCACAUGGAUAUGAAUAUAUUCAGCUCCUUGGUUGAAGUCAUCAUUCAAAUGCGGUGCACAAGCAAGAACCCCUGAGCCUGAAGAAGUUCACAAAAAUUAUUGGGGAAAGACAAAGGAAAAGUUUUCCUGGAGAUGAAUCUCACAAGGAAGGAGAUGGAGUCAUUGCAACAAAAGAUAGCUCUUGUAAACAGAGAGUGCUGAAUAUUAUAUUUAAUGUGUAGAUCUAAUCCUUCAAGUAUGAAUACAUGUACAUGUUGGUGUUUCUUCGAUCAUUUGGGUCCAAUAGUAUCCUAUCAAUGUGAAAUGUAAAUCCAAAUCCUUCAGUAGGUCAUGACCAAACUAUUUUUCUAAGGAAAAAGAGAUGGAUCUCUUGACUCUUGAGGAAGGUUCUUCAGUUCCAGAUUUGGAUUUCCGCUAACAUCAUGAGCGUGUCAUGUACAAAUGCACAUGACAUUUUUGCAGGGGCGUCAGAUCUUUUUCCAAAGAGACAGGAUUCAAGUGGAUUUCGCAUCCAAUAAUCUGUCCAUCACUGAAAAGAGGAGUAAAGGAGCCUCUAAUCCCCAUCUGUCUCCGAUUCUGAUCAUUGCCGGGGAGCUGAGUAAUUUCCACCGCACUGGCAGCACUGAACAACUGAAAGGAAGGGAGGCUGAUGAGCCGUGUGAGCUCACUGUCAAGUCUGGUGAUGGACUUCUCCAUGGGAGGUGCGGUCACCAUGGUGGCCAAGAUGGGGGCCAUGCCAGCAGAAUGUGUCAAGCUGCUGCUCCUGAAGACGAGAACUAGGAUAAGAUAUUGUGGCUGGUGACCUUCACCUACUCAUACAAUGGCAUCACGACACAUUCACCCACAUCCUCCGCAAGGAGGGUGCACCUUCAACCAGGCCAGUGUCAUCCGCUACUUCCCACCCAGGUACGGUCUCCUUCCUUUUCCCUGUGUAGACUGUAGAGUCAUUGCUUGGUUCGCCUUGAUGCAUUGUCUUCUCUUCCUGCCAACCUCCUUAUGAAUUUGAUGUCAAGUGUUAAUUGAAUGCUCUGCUCAUAAAAUUAACUAGCAAUCGAUACUAUGCAUAGAUAUUGCAGCACCAGAAUGUUUCCUUCAAGAACUUCUACUUCCUGCACCGACAUGCUUGUUAUGGCCCGAUUUCUCACAAUUCCAUUAUAUCACAGAAAAGAAAAACAAUGUCACAACUCUUCAAGUAUUGUCUGGCUGGUUCCUCCAUCCUCUAAUUUCCAUGAAUGCUAUGUGCAUCCUGAAAGCAAAAUUCUUAAAACUAAUACUUGGAAUUUGGAAAUCGCAAUAGCUUGGGAUGGUAAUCUGACUGGUCAUGUACUCACGUGUUUAUGGAGUGGUCCUCUUUAUAUAGUUAUAUAUACACAAUACACUUCAUAUCUGCAUUGCACUACAAUAUAGUGAAUCUUCAUAGAUGAAACUAAACUAUGCCAAGUUUUUAAGGCAUACUUAUUUUUAUUGAUGACAUAAGAAAGACCAGACUUUGGAUCAUAUGUUUUUAUGCACCUUACUUGAAAGGCAUCAAAUUUCUGUGAAAAGAACAAUCCUCCAACUUAUGCAGGUUAUGCAGUUGUACUAUAUGGCAGCUAUCUUUAUUAGACAAUUGUUCUAGCUGUGUUAUCGGACACAAUUAAAUAUAUAUGUGCUUCUGUUUC